GUCCUUAAUUUAAUCAUUAGAUAAAUAAUUUUUUAAAAAUUAAAAAUUUUGAUUCUUCGGCACUUCAAAUACUCUAUAUUAAUUUUAAUGAUUCCAAUCGUCAUUUCAAAAUUUUUAUUCUAAAAAUAACUUGAUAGAACGGAAACUUUUGUCCUUUUAAAAUGCUAGUAACUAUAUUAUAUUAUACUCUCUCUCUCUCUCUCUUGUUAGGAUUUGAUUAGAUUUGUAAUUAAAUGUUAUUUAGAUAAGAAUUAAUAUUUAAAUCUGUUGGAGAUAAAUUAAGAUUUAAAUAUUAAUUAGAGGAUAAACCUGACUAGAUUAUGAUUAAUAUUUAAAUCUAUUAGAGAUUAAUUAAGGUAGAUUUAGAUAUUAAUUAAAGUCGGAAUUCUAAUUAUAUUAGGAUUGAGGUACGUUUUGGUGAAGUUUUAUAAAUAGCUCUUGAUCGGUUUGUUUUUGAGGAAAGUAUGGCUGAAGCUUGGGUGCCGUACCAGAGAGAGAGAGAGAAAGAGAGAGAGAGUUAUUUACUGCAUCUUGUGCACGGGUGCACGUGGAAAUAUUGUCUUCUUUGGGUGUUAUAGAAGACGAGAGAAAAGGGUAGAAGAGAUUUAGAAAGAGAACUCGGAUUGUAGCUACUCUGUGUACAGAAGAGUUAGGUGUAAUCUUCUCUUAUUUAAUGAAUCUUAUUUUAUUCGUAUAUUUUCUGUUUUGAUUUUUUCUCUCUUUUGUGAUUGUAUCAGUUUUUACUGAGGAGACGGGUUUAUGGUAAAAAUCCGAUUCGAUGUUUCCGUUGCGGAAUCUCAACAAUCGGUACCGAAUCCACAGCGGUCGGUAUGGGAGCAGGUUGCAGAUUCAUAAGAUUCAGUACCGGGGCGAGCAUCGGAUUCCCAACAUCUCUCUCUCUCUCUCUCUAUAUAUAUAUAUAUAAGAGCCUGAAAAUACUUCUCUCCCUCUCUCUCUCUCUCUCUCUCUCUCUAAGCAUGAGAUGCAGGGGAUGAAAGAUAAUUGGAGCAAACAUCUUCGAUUUCCUCUGUAAUUAUCAUAUCAUGAUGCACAGUUGGAAGCUUAGAUAGUUUCGCUUACUACUAAUAUAAUUUUGUAGCCUUCACAAUUUGAGUUCCGUUUGUGGGAGAAUGCACUGACAAAAUAAAAUAGAAGUCAUAGUCAGAGUCGUUCAUCACGCUUUAAAUGAAAAGAAUAGCAAAUCACAAUGAAAAUUACACGAUCGACUAUUAAGCCUUCAUCAACUGUAUUUGCCAGUUGUAUAGGAAUUUAGUCCUGCUCUACUUACUGCUUUGCUAAAUCGCUUUUCUCGUAAUAGCGCUUCGUCAGAAGCUCUAGACAAGCCAAAAGAAUGUAAAGAUGAUCUAAAGAAGAAUCAAACUCAUAAUAACAAAAGAUUGAAAGAUAACAUCUGGUGUUUGGUUACAUCCUGCUUUUCAAAGGCCCGUAAAAGUUCAUAUACAUAUAUAUACAUCCUGUACUCCGAGGAUUUUCAUUAGAACACAUAGAACAAUCAAUCAAUGCCACCUUAAAUUAAAAAUAAAUAAAUAAAUAAAAACAUUCAUUCUAUGUUUUCAUGCGAGGAAUCCUAACUUCUCCCCAUUUUUCUUCGCCAAACGGAUCAAUCCCUGUCUCUGCUUUGAAUCAGCUCCUAUUGUUUUGCAGAACUCUGUGAUCACCUGCAUCAGUUGUUUUAUCUUUUCAAUUCAUACACAUCUGAAAAGAACUCAUGAAAUGGAAAAUCUCCGAAAAGCCAUUCGACAUAUCAUGUUUAUAUCUUUUCUAUGCACCUUUUGUUUUUUACCCCCUUUUUUUGGAUAAUUUAAAAAUAAGAUAAUUUUUCUAUUCGACUCACUACUGAGAAAAAGAAGAAUACAAUCAACAGCCACAAAGGAGAUUUACAUUAAACUGAUCAAUUUCAUAGCUUUUUCACACUUUUAACUGAAGAGUAACGUUAUAUAUAUCUGCCAACACAUCAGUAAUUUGUUUUUUAUAAAAAAAAUCUCCGAUGCUUUUCGUAAAUUUUACUUCUCAUUAUGUUUUCAAAGAUUUGACGUUCGAGACAUUCAACAAUCUACAAAGAUUUAAAGUUUCUGCGGCGAUGCCAAAUGAAAAUAUAAAUUUCAACACCUAUUUUGUUGCAUAUAUAAGCUAUUAGAGAAACAUGACAAACAAUUUUAUUGGGAUCAUUUUGACAGUGACAUCGUCAAAUCUAUCGUUCACCACUGAUUGAAUCGGGCUUCCUAACCGAGCGGCCCUUAAAAUAUUGUGUGAUAUAAAAACAUAAAAAAUUAUAAAUAAAUAAGAAAGAAGUUCAACUGUAUACGGUUGGUAGUUUGUACCUGGGAGUGAAGCGCGAUGACUUUCCCGCGCAGCUGGUUGAAGCGCUUACGCCCGACAACGUUGCGCACCAAAACCACUAUGGGCGCGAAGAGCCCCUUGCCCUCGUUCACGUUGCCCAUCCGCGGCCGCGGCCGCGUCGGCCGUGCGGCGGCGACACGACGCACGGCGGGGACCCGCGGUGUCGCCACGCGGUCUCCGCCGCCAAGGAAAGAGGAUCCGAACCCCGCGGCGGCGGCGGGGGAGAGAGAGGCCGCGGCCAUGGACAAAGAAGGAGAGAUUUAGGUUGAGAGGAGUGAGGAGUAUGCUACAAAGGUCUUAAUUUCUCAGCUACGGUGAAAGAGAGAGAGUGUGUUUGUGUGUAUGGUGAGUUGAGAGUUGAGAGGCUUGAGUUUCAGGGAUGAUAGAAGCCAUGUCUUUGGUUGCGGACGUGGUCAUGUUCAGAUGCGUAUUCUUGACGAGAGAAUGCUUAAGACUGACAAAACAGGAUUGCAAUCUCUACAGCCUCUUGGAUCAGUGACCCUCAGUUUUACUCACUUGUCCGAUUGUCGUUACCGGCGCAAGUGACAAAAUACUUAAUAGUUAGUAUCGGAGAUCUUAAAUUUAAAUUUUAUUUGAUUUAUAUUUUCAACUAAAUUUACCUUAUAAUUUGAAUAAUUUUGUUGUAACAAAAAGUUAAAUACGUCUAGGAAAAAAAAGUUUUACUAACUUCCCCUUUACCUCAUCCAAAAAUUUAUCUUAACUGUUUAAUGUGUUUUAUCUGAUCCAAAAUCACUAAAUUUAUUUUUUUGGCCUAAUUUCUGUCUACAAAUUUUUAUAGUUCGAAUAACCUUGUUGUAAUAGAAAGUUAAAUACGCCAAUUUUUGUUUUCUCUUUUUACAUUCUUUUGAGAAUGUUUGUAAGCAGUUCAUAUUGAAUCCUAAAUUCGAAAGCGUCAAAUCCUCGUUUGAACUUUACCGUGCAUGUCUCUAGCCAUUGAGACUUGUAGUUGGUGGUAAUUCGGUACUUAAAAAGCAGAAGGACAAUCUGUAGCAAAAAAUCACUACUGAGAAGAGUUUGAUCAAAAAGAAAAGAAAAAAAGAAGUAAAACUAUUUAUAGGACUCUGAUCGGACUAAACUGGUAAAUUACAACUCGAUAAUAAUUCAUUUUUAGUUGGACUGAAAUCACUUGUUUUCUCGAGACAACAUUAAUUAUCAAGUUGGAAUUAUUAUGGUCGAAUUGCAGUCACACGGAUCCAAAUAUGUGUUCAAUUAAAACAAAAAAUUUAAUCUAAAGUGUCAAAUUCCUAAUAUAGGGCCGUAUUAGCCAAACCACUCUUAACAAACCAAACUCCAAAAAAAAAAAAAAAAAAAAAAAAAAUCUGUUCUCUCACUCGCGCCACGCAGCCCUUCUCACGUGGGAUCGAUCGAUCGAUCGAUCGACCAAGGCCCCCGACAAAAGGAAACCCUACCCCCAAUCUCCACCGUCCGAUCAAUCCAUCUCAGCCGUACGUUAGCCGAGGAUCUUACGGUGGUAUUUUAUCCCCAUCGUACCCCUUCGCUGUCCCCCUCCUCCCUCAGAUAUUUUCUACGAGGGGGCGGCGCCUUCGUCCCCAAUCGCUCCCUCUCUCUCUCUCUCUCUCGCUCGCCGUCUCCUCCCCCACAAUCCCCCCAUUUUCCCCGCUUCGUCUUCUACGGUAGAGGGAUUCGUUCAUGGAUUCGGACGUGGGGAAGCUAUUUAUCGGGGGGAUCUCGUGGGAGACGACGGAGGAGAAGCUCAAGGAGUACUUCGGCAAGUAUGGGGACGUGUCGCAAACGGUGAUUAUGCGGGAUAAGGUCUCCGGGAGGCCCCGAGGGUUCGGAUUCGUCGUCUUCGCCGAUCCCUCCCUCAUCGAUCGGGUGCUUCAGGACAAGCACGUCAUCGAUGGGCGCACGGUUUUGCUCUUAUCCUCUUUUCAUCUUCUGCUUCGGCUUAUGCUGUUGUUUAGGUCCUUUUUUUUUGUUGAUGUUUUAGUUGUUUAGUUUGUAGUCUUUGUUGAUAGCGAGAUCUAAUUUGUUGUAAAAUUCGGGGUUAGUAUCGGUGAAGCCCUAGAAAUUGGCUUGGUUGAUGUGUUAUUGAUGCUAAAUUGUAGUUUAAUUUGCGAGUAUUUUUUAUCUUUGUCACAUAUUAUCUGCUUCUUGCGAAUUGCGAUGUGGUUUUAGGGUUUUCAUUGUGUAUUCUGUUCUCUGCUCUGGGUAAUAAAAUUCAUAAGGUAAGAGUUUGGAUGCAUUCUUGAUGACAAUAAAUACUCUUGUAAUAGUUCAAUACACUGGUAGAAAGAUCAAACUCCUCCUGCUAUGUGUUUUUCCCCACAGAGAAAAUCAUCGCUAUGUUUGUUUCUAUGAAAUUGUCAAAGUCAGGAGCUGACUUGAGGUAUAUAUUUUUAAUAAUUUGCCUGCUUUUUUUCUUGUAAUUGCAUUUCCGGAAUGCCCAAUUCUCUUUGUUACUAUAGUCAUUCUGUUUGUGCUUUUAUCUUUAUUAGCUGCUAGUUUCUUCAUCGGUUACUUCUUCUUAAUAAUUUUUUGCUAUCAGGUGGAAGCUAAAAGAGCUCUUUCUCGAGAGGAACAGCAAACAUCCGUCAGAUCUGCAAACCCUAGUAGUGGUCGUUCAGCUUCAGGGGGGGGUGCGAAUAUCCGGACCAAGAAGAUAUUUGUUGGAGGACUUCCUCCAACUCUUACCGAAGAUGGAUUCCGUCAGUAUUUCCAAACCUACGGAAACGUGACCGAUGUCGUUGUCAUGUAUGAUCAGCAAACACAGCGUCCUCGUGGUUUUGGAUUCAUCUCUUUUGAUACAGAGGAUGCUGUUGAUCGUGUUCUUCAUAAAACUUUCCAUGAACUUAAUGGUAAAUUGGUAGAGGUAAAGCGUGCUCUUCCUAAAGAUGCAAAUCCUAGUAGUGGUGGUGGCCGUUCGCAAUCAUACGGUGGGUCUGGGCAAAGUGCUGCUUCAUAUGACAAUAGAAUGGAGGCCAAUAGGUAUAUGCAGCAGCAACAAACUGGUGGCGGCUAUCCUACGUAUGGUUCGUCGGCAUAUGGCGCGCCAAGCUAUGGGUAUGGAGGAGCGAGCAAUGUUGGGUAUGGAGGGUAUGGUGUUAGUGGCUAUGGAAGUGCUUCUGCUGCUGGGUAUGGUGGACCUGCUGGGGCUUAUGGGAAUCCCAAUGCAGCUGGUGGCUAUGUCAGCGGCCCUCCAGGAGCUGCUCCCAGAAGCCCUUGGACCAAUCAAGCUCCGACUGGGUAUGGCUCCUCGGGUUACGGAGGGAAUACAGCCUAUGGAGCAGCUUCCUCGUGGGGCACUUCUGCUGGUGGUGCUGGUGGUGCUGCACCGACCAGCCAGUCGCCAAACAGUGCUUAUGGAAAUCAAGGAUAUGGUGGGUAUGGUGGAUAUGGUGGGGCAGAUGGAGCUUAUGCUAGUCAAGGUGGUGGUUAUGGGGCUGUUGGCGGCCGUGGUGGUGGGCCUACAAAUAAUGCAGCUAGUGGGUCAGGCGUACAAGGUGCUGGUUAUAUGGGUGGUGGGUAUGGUGAUGCCAAUGGGAGCUCGGGUUAUUCGAAUGCUUGGAGAUCUGAUCCUUCACAGGCUGCAGCUUAUGGAUCGGGUCAGGUUAAUGGGCCUGCUGGUGGCCCAGCUAAUUAUGGCGGGGGUUAUGGAGGCAGUCAAGGCCGGCAGCCUCAGCAGCAGUAACUAUUGAGAGGAUUGACUCUUUCAAAUGGAAGCAGAUUUUUCAGCCUGGUUGGAAUGCUUGAACCCCAAUAGUAGUGUAGCUGCAGUUCUCUAUUAUGUUAAGUAUAAAAUAAGUAGCUGUUUGAGGAUCAGUAGUUAUCGCAUAGUUCUAUAUGCCUUUUAGUGUUCGUUUGCUUAUUAAGUUUGGUAUGUUUUUAGGGUUUGUUUCCUUGCUCUUGCUUUCUUGUUUUAAUUUAGAGUACCUUAUGUUAACCUCUUCCUUAUGUCGUAUUGAACUUCUAUGUUUUGUGCUAUGGUUAAGUACAAUGUCUGUGGUACUGGAAGUAAUAUUUGAAGCUAAGCAUUGUGUAGGUGUAUUGAGAAUGUGGUUGAUUCUUAGCACUGCAAAGAACUACAUUUGUAUGUUUCAGUUUUUCGUACAUGGUACUGGCUACUGAGUAAGAUUUACAAUCUUACUGUAGCGGACAAAUUAAUGUGCUGAUGGUGGUAGUUUCAUUGAAGUAGAGCAAGCAUGAUUUUGUUCUUGUCAUCUAGUACGAAGAUAUGAUUUUGCCGUAGCUGACUCCAAUUGUAUGCUGACGGUGAUGCACUUCAUUGAACUAGCAGCAAUUUCAUUCUUGUAGGAAAGUAGAUGCAUAGAGAGCCUGUUUGCAAUGUGGCUAACUACUUUUGCUAAGCAACGGGUAAAGGUAGUGAGAAUAUUCUUGACACUUAGCACCUGUAUCAUGGUUUUAAGUUUAUGAUGUUUCUUCUGCGGACGUUUAUCAUUGAAAACUAGCCAUGAGUUGAACUGUUGAGAAAGAAUUUGAUAAUUAACAAUGAUUACUGGUAUUUCAGUUCAAUUUUUCACCUACGGUAAAGAGAAUGAUGUAUGAUCCUGCUGUAGCUGGCUAAUAUCACAGUGGUGGUAGACUUCAUCAAAGUAGCAUAUGUUCGUUCUCUAAAAGAGAGUAGAGACACAGUAACUGUUUAUCAGCAUUAUUUGGUUGCAAGUUAGAAGCAGUGCAUGUAUAAGGAGAAAGAUGUAUGAUCUUACUGUAGCUGCAGUAGCAUCUAUUUCUUGUAAGAUAGGAGUAGAGAUGUAAGAGCGUAUUGGUAAAUUCUCGGAUCAAGUAAUCUAUCGGCUAGGGUAUCGUAGUAAUAGUUGAGAUAUUUGUCAGUGGAGUAACUUUUCCUCCCUUGUAUCCAUAUUUUGUACAGGACAUGCUGCUCUUUGCUGUCCCAGUUUGGUUAUCACUGGAGCCUUUUCAGGGUGAGUUAUCUGCUGGGCACAGUCGAGGCCAGUCUUUGAAGCACUGAUGGUCUCAUUCGUGUUCGUGUUAUUGGUUUCAGUCAUGAAGUGCCAUGAACUUCCAUGUGAUGACCUGCGGGUACGUAAAACAUUUGACCUGUUAACCGGAAUACUUAAUGCUCAGUAUACGUUUACAUUGAAUCAAUGAAAUUUUGAUUGAAAAAUUAGCUUUAAUGGAUUUCAAAGAUGGUGGGUGAUCGGAUUUAGCAGUGAUAUCUAUUAGCCGAAUAUUUAUAGGGCUCUCUAAGAUUUUUGAACUUUGAACAAGUGAUCCGGUUGACAACUUGUGUAGCAUGAGGAUUUUCUUUUGUGAUUGCAACAUAGGAGCUUGAUUUAUCCUAUGGCAAGAUUCUCUUUAAUUAGGAUUUUUAAGGAUAAUGCAUUCCGCCUGCUAGGUGUUUUAUCAUGUUCGGAGAAAUUAGUCUAGAGGUUCUAUAAACUAUUAUAGAUAUCUUUGCAUUUUCUUUAUUAACCGGUUACUAAAUGCCCAUUAGUAAUCAAAAUUGACAUGCUGAACAUGAUGAUCAUUCUUCUAAGCAGGUUCUUAAUAUAUCAUGAAGUCGCGCAUUAAAUUUCAAGCCAAACUUUUAUCAUCACAUCCGCCAGUAAAUAUGAUAAGAGGUGGACUCCAUUUGAAAGCAUUCUUUUGUAAUUAAGGCAGAAAGAUUAAUCUGCCAAUCAAUAUGAGGCGGACUCCAUUAGAAAUCUUUCUUUUGUAAUUAAAGCAGAAAGAUUAAGGGGCAUUUACAGGUAGGCUCAGCUUCCUUAGUCACAAGAUCGCCUAGGUGUAAGUGUAUUGAUAUGUCUAGGAAGAAUCUUUUCACAAUACUAACUCUAUGCUUUGGAGAUGCCUUGUAUUUUCUUGCAGUUCACUCCCAAAACAAGCGCCGAGUAUGGGGUGGGAAAUUAUUAGCCUAUUCUGAAUCUACAAAGAGUAGUCUGAUUCCGUGCCCGAUGACACACAGUUUCACCAGUUUUGCAUUUUUGUCCCGGAGUGCUUUAAUGGAGCUUAAAUGUUGUGGAGUUUCGGAAGGCCUUUCUCAAUACUUAGUCACAUAUCCUUUGUUCUUUUUAUCUAAAGCAGAACACUUUGUACAAAAAGAAAAAAAAUGUAAUUUAGCUUUGCCCAAGAGUUUUCUAUCCGUUUAAAGUUUCCUAUUUCAUUCGAUAUCUUGGAUAUAUGCUGACUAUCUAUUGGUACCAAUUGCACGGAUUACUGCUUAUCUUCCUACCGAUCAGUGGUGUCUUGGUAGACAUAUUUGGGCACCUUGUUCAUCAUAUAAUAUCUAGUACCCCUAUCUAGUAUUAUUAUCCUUGUGGUUAGAAGUAACUUAGAUGGAAGCGAGAAGGUAUAAUUUUAAUAACUUGGUUUUUUUUAACCUUUUUCAAGAAGGGAGUUGUUUCCCAAGUUGUCCAGUAAGUGGAAUGUUCUUUUUGUCGGUUUUGAAAAUUUUUUUGUUGCCACGUUCGCCGAUAACUUGUCCAAAGUGAGAAAAUGUUGAUCAGUGCCGGCCCCGGCAGUCAAGUUACUAUUUGGGAUUAUAUCACGUAUAUAAUAAUAAUAUCUAUUUAUGUGCAUUCCAACGUCAUGAUGUACGCCUUUUGCGCCUUUGAAGUACCUAAGGCGGUGUUUGGUUAUUCGUAAAAUCAACCCUAAAAUGUUGAAAAAUAAAAAUUUGAUGUUUGUUUGUCUAUAAAAAAAUUUUUCGGAUUGUGUGUAAAAGUUGAGUUUUCGUUCAUGCGGUCCACGAGGUCUGGUUCACCUCGUGGACCGUGUGAGGAGAGGACCGAAAGGUCCAUAAUGGAUCUCUCUCUGUCGGACUCUAUAUAUAUAUAUAUAUAUAUAUAUAUAUAUAUAUAUAUAUAUAUAUAUAUAUAUAUAUAUAUAUAUAUAUAUAUAUAUAUAAGAGAAAAUNUAUUAUAUAUUAUAUUAUAGUAAUUUAUUAUAUAAUAUAUUUUAAAUUAUAUAAUAUUUUAUUUAUAAAUAUAAAAUAUAAUAUUAAUAUAUAUGUAAUAUGAUAAUUAUUAUAUAUUAAUAAUAUAUAAUAUAUAAAAUAAAUAUACAUGUAUAUAUAUAUAGAAUAAAUUUUUAAUUAUAAUUUUUUUUUUCUUUUACUUUUACGUUCAACCAAACAAUUUUCACCGAAAAUUAUUUUUUUUUCCUACGAAGCAAAUAUUAGCACGUAAAAUUUUUUUUCCACCCAAAUUUUUUUUUUUUACAGUUUUACGUGAAACCAAACACACCCUGAAUUGUUGCUCUGUCGCGUGAAAGGGGAGCGACGGAGAAAUCGUUGCCUGCGCCUAGCCCAUAUAUACGUAGUAUGGACCAAAGUAUUCUUCAUCCAUUUAUUUGUAUAUAUCCUACUUCUCACUUAAAUCUGUACCGUCCAAGCCUUUUCAAGUAGGGGGCAAAACGAAUGGACGGCUACUGUCCGGUGCAUGGGUCUACGCGCGAGAGCACCGGAUGCAGGGAAAGGGUUUUGUGCAUCCCAAUGGGGCUGCGCUGUAUCUUCCCAGGCAAGUGACAAAAUCCAUCCUGUAUCGCUCUUUUCUCUCUCCUCACCUCCAACGUCCAACGAUGUCCGUAGCUAUCUAUAGCACUCCCUCAAUAUGGUGGGAGCGGGUCCCACGCCUCCCCCCACCCCACGAACCCCUCCGCCACCGCAAACUCCGGCGACCAUGGGCCGCCGCCGCCUCUCCUCGGGCUCGUCGUUCCCGGACGAAUCCCUCGACGGCGGCGGGGGCGCCGGCGCGGCGGAGCUGCGGUGGCCCUUCGGGCGCCUCGACUCCAUCGACCGCGACGAGCUCCGCGAGAGCGCCUACGAGGUCUUCUUCACCUCCUGCCGCUCCGCCCCCGGCUUCGGCGGCCGCAACCCCCUCUCCUACUUCCCCGCCUCCGACGCCGCCGGAGGCGGAGGCGGAGCCGCCGUGGAGGGCGGCGGAGGAGGCGGUGGCGCGGGUUCGGGCAUGACGGUGGUGNGAUGCGGCCGAUGGGGUCGCCCGCCGCCGCCGGGAAGGUGCGGCAGCGGCCCAUGACCUCCGCCGAGAUCAUGCGGCAGCAGAUGGGGGUCACCGAGCUCAGCGACAACCGUCUCCGGAAAACCCUUAUGCGCUCCCUCGUCGGCCAGGUCUCAAUACAGCAACAAAAUCUCUACAUUUUGCUCCGAGUUAUAUUAAAUUGAGAUUACCGUAGAACAUAGAAGAUGCGUAUAAUGUGUUUGAUGUUAUUUCCCGGUGAAGAGAGAUAUCUCUAAUGAAUUUAGUGAUAGUGAUCAUGUCAUUAUUUAAGGGUACGAAGGUGCAAAAUAGUUUCGCCAUUGCAAGUGAUGGAAGAGAUAUAUAGUUAUCUGACUUUAAUUACUUGAAUAGCUCUUAUUAGGUGUUCGAUAGAAUUAAUUGGACACUUGGGACUGUACAGGAGAUGAUUCGUUACUCUAGUUGUGCAACACAUUAUAAUGUAUUUGAUAGAAGUACUCAGUCAUAUAGCUUCAUCUCCUUCCCUAUGUUCUUUAGAUAGUAGAGCUUCUUUUGUAUAUACUAAGAAUGUCACUCAGUGUAGAAUCUUUGGUGUUGGAGUUAAUGGUAAUUUGGUGUAUUUUGUGUCAUUUUAUCAGAUGGGUAGAAGAGCAGAGACAAUCAUCCUCCCCUUAGAGCUUCUUCGCCAAUUAAAACCGUCCGAGUUUGCCGAUGCGUAUGAAUACCACUUAUGGCAACGCCGCCAGCUGAAGAUUCUAGAAGCAGGCCUAAUCCACCACCCCCUGGUCCCUUUAGACCGGCUCAACCCCGCUGCCCUUCGCUUCCGGGAGAUCAUGAAGUUGAGCGAGCUCAAGCCCAUUGACACGAGCAAGAACUCUGAAUCCAUGCGAGCCCUCAGCAGCUGCGUGCUCGCCCUGGCCUGGCGAAACCCCAAUGGCGCUCCCGUUGAGGUUUGCCAUUGGGCCGACGGCUUCCCUCUCAACAUGCACCUUUAUUUAUCCCUCCUCCGCGCCAUAUUCGACAUUAGGGACGAGACUGUGGUGCUCGACGAGGUUGACGAGCUACUUGAGCUAAUGAAGAAGACAUGGACUGCUUUAGGGAUCAAUAGGAUGAUCCACAAUGUGUGCUUCACCUGGGUCCUUUUUGAACAAUAUGUGGUGACCGGGCAAGUUGAGCCGGACUUGAUUUGUGCGACAUUGGCAAUGUUGGUGGAGGUUGGGAAUGAUGCGAAAAAGGCAGAUAGAGAGCCUGGGUAUGUUAGGGUUUUAUCUGCGACGUUGAAUUCUAUCCAGGCGUGGGCAGAGAGGAAGCUAUUGAACUAUCACGAAGGGUUUGAGAAGGGUGCUGUGGGGAUGAUGGAGAAUGUGUUGUGUUUGGCUCUCUCGACUGCAAAGAUUCUUAGUGAAGAUACCUCAACUUGUUGUGGUACACCGGUCCAUGGCGAGCGUGAUUAUAUGACUCUGAGCAGUUCAUUGUCAGGAAAUCGGGUCGAUCACUAUAUUAGAUCCUCAAUAAAGAAUGCCUUCACCCGGGUGAGUCUUGAUAUUACAUAUGUUGUCAAUCACUACGCAUUGGUGGUAUAAUUUGCCAUUAUGUUUGUUAGAAUUCAUUCUGACUAAAAGUUACAAUUUAUAGUGCUUCUAUACCUUUAUCAGAAAAAUAAUGUUGAAUUCGUUCUCAAUUUCAACCCUGCGACAAAAUUUUCCUGGAAAUAAACCUUAACAACUAGCUAUCUUCAUCAGAGCGGGUUUGCGUAACUUAAUAUCUAUAUUUUGACACAGAUAUACGAGAAUGGGAGCGGGAAUGUCGACAGUAUGGUGGUGGAAGUUGACGAGGAUCCAAAUGAGGUCCUCAUGAACUUAGCCAAAGAGAUAGAGGACUUGGCUAUAUCAGAGAAAGAGACCUAUAGCCCCAUACUGAAGAAGUGGCACCCAGUUCCCAGCGCGGUGGCAGCUGUGACCCUCCACAACUGCUUCAGUGUAGUGCUGAAGCAGUAUGUUUCGCGGAUGUCGGGCCUAACGAAUGAGUCGGUUCGCGUGCUCCAGUCAGCCAGCAAGCUCGAGAAGGUUUUGGUCCAUAUGGUCGUGGAGGACUCGGUGGAUUGCGAGGAUGGCGGGAAGGCGAUUGUGAAGGAGAUGAUCCCGUACGAAGUCGACUCUGUCAUUUUGAAUUUGAUGAAGAGUUGGAUCAAUGAGAGGCUGAGGAUUGGACGGGAGUGUGUUAACAGAGCUAAAGAGACUGAGGUAUGUAUGCUUAAAGCUCUCCCCGUACUUGUUCCUGUUUGGCCCAGCUUAGUUUAUGAAGAAGCUUAUCUACUCUUCAAAGCAAUAACAUAUUUUGUCAAAUGAAACACCUGGUGUGUUUGCGGUGAAUGGAUGAAACUUCUCUACUUCGAAAAACAGUAUUUAAGCGUUUUUGCAAAUAUGAACUGAAUUGAGCUUUUGAGCCAUAAAAAUUUGAAGCUUCUGUAAUGAGGUUCAUUCUAUUGAGGGGCGUUCUAUUAUGGGGAAAGAAAAUUUGUAGUGCUUCUUUGAAUUAUUCUACUCAAUCAGUACUUAUUCAGAAGCUCGUGAUCAAACAGUCCUGCACUGUCUGUUGAUAGUGAUAAUUCAACUUGUUUGAUGUUUAUUUCUUUGCUUCUGCUUGUAGGGUUGGAACCCAAAGUCAAAAUCGGAGCCAUAUGCUCAAUCUGCUGUCGAUCUAAUGAAGCUGGCGAAGGUGACAGCCGACGAAUUCUUUGAGAUCCAAGUGGGCGCCCGUGAAGAACUGGUCCAGGACCUUGCUGACGGCAUCGACAGCCUCGUCCAGGACUACGCCUCCUUUGUCGCUUCAUGUGGUAAUCACAAAUCUCCACUUCAGUCUCAAUUCUAAUCUCCAAUAGCUCCGUAGUUUUAAUGGUCUCUUGUUGAUUUAAAUUAACAAAAAAUUAAAAGGGACAAAGCAGAGCUACAUCCCGUCGCUCCCGCCACUGACGCGGUGCAACCAGGACUCGAAACUCCUCCAGCUUUGGAAAAAGGCGGCGCCGCCGUGCCAGGCCGGCAUUGCCGACGGCACCCCCGACCCGUCUGGUGUGGAUGGUGGGGCUAAGCCGAGGCUGAUCAUUUGCAAGUCGACGCGGGCACAGGGCGAGACCCACCACCCACGUCCGAGUACAAGCCGCGGUACGCAGCGGCUAUACGUACGCCUCAACACCCUCCACUACCUCCUUGCCCUCCUCCACUCCAUUGACAAGUCCCUCUCCUUCUUCUCCCGCUCUGCUCUCGGUGUCGGCGGCCCCUCCCCAUCGCCACGCGUCCUCACCCCAAACCCCACCCGCCGCCGUGCUGUCGCUCCAACCCACUUUGAGCACGCCCGUGCCGCCCUCCACUCCGCCAUCCUCCAUGUCGCUGAGCUCUCUGCCUACCGCCUUGUCUUCCUCGACUGUGCGCACUCCUUCUAUGACUACCUCUACCUAGGCGGUGUCGCCGGUGCUCGCGCGCGUCCUACGCUCCGCACACUCAAACAGAACCUUGCAGUGCUUGUCGGUGUCCUCACCGACCGGGCACAGACCCUUGCCGUGCGUGAGGUCAUGAAGGCCUCCUUCGAGGCAUUCCUCAUGGUGCUUCUUGCCGGGGGGAGCGCGCGGGCGUUUGCACGCUCUGACUACACGGCGGUAGCGGAGGACUUCGCAAGCCUGAAGCGGGUGUUCUGUAGCUGCGGGGAGGGGCUGGUAGCAGAGGAGGUGGUGGAGCGGGAGGCUGCAGCAGCAGAGGGGGUGGUGGCGCUCAUGGCGCUGCCGACGGAGAAGCUCGUGGACGAAUUCACCGCGAUGGCAUGCGCUGCCGCAAGCAGCAUCAGCCCAGGGAAGGUGCCGAUGCCGCCUACGACUGGGCGGUGGAGCCGCGCCGAUCCCAACACCGUGCUACGGGUGCUGUGCCACCGCGACGACGAGGUGGCCAACAGGUUCUUGAAAAGAGCCUUUGAACUGCCGAAGAGGAGGUGACAGUUUUAUUUCUUCAACUGGGGAAGAGUCGGCGAAGAGAUUCCAAAGACGUGGAUUCGGUGCCGUUUUUUAUUCGGUGUAUAUUCAUUGGAGAAUUUUUGUGGUAAUAACAUAUACAUACAUGGUAGGGAGAUUUAUCUAUGUGUAUUAGCCAAUUUAAGUCACUGGACUUAAUUAGAGUUUCUACUUUAUACGCAGGGAAGGGUGCAGGGAUAGUGAAGGGUGCAGGGACAGCGGGGAGGGUUUGGGGUUGGCUCUGUUUAUCGGGGUAUGUUAAACUGUUAAUUAAUGAAAAAAAAAAAAAAGUAAUAUCAUGUAACUUGUAUUCUCUCUUCGGCAACUCCCAGUGGUUGGAGAUCACGUUCUUCUUACCUUUUUCAAUCCGAGUGUCAUUAUAAAUCUUUUGACACUCAUUAUUAGGUCAUUUAUUUACCCUACUUCUCUGUAAUUAUUACGAUAGAUCCAGUUUCAUGAAGACCAAACUAUUCAAUGCUGAUUGCUGGAUGCUAUGCUGCGCCAGCUCUUUCUACAGCCUUCUAUAAUAAAGAUCCAAUGCUUUCAAAAAAUAAUAAUCAAUUUGGUAACAUUUAUUUCUUUCAGAAAUUGAUGCAGCUGUCGCAUUUUAACUGGGGCAAUUCACGACCGACAUGGCAGACCCGGUCCAGGGAACAUUCCUGAGGACCAGUUUAUUUUCCCCAAAAGAGUUUCUGUGAUUCAUAGUUUGCCACAUGGGGACCAAUAACACGAUUGGUUCCAAAUUUCCAAUUGGGUCGAGUUCGUAGAGUCUAAUUACUAGGCCGUUGCCAUAGCACGACACGAGCCCAUUUGACCAAUCUCCGAGCCCGUCACUCAACCUGGUCCAGCUAUUAAUGUAUAGUCUCAGUCUUCUAGAAAUUAGAAUCCAUCUUUCUCGUCUCUCUCUCUUUCUCUCUUUCUCCAUUCAUGCUCCCACACAUGGUCUUCAAAAACGGCUCACGUGCCUCAUGUCCGUCCGAUCCCGCUCCCACGGUCAAGAUCUCCCUCCUUCGCAACCCACCCCUCCCGCUUCCCCUCGUCAAAAAGCCCGUGAGCUCUCCUCCCUCUACCUUCUCCCGAGAGAGUGAGAGCGAGAACGAGAGAGAGAGAGAGAGGCGAAGAGGGUUUCCAUGGGGCGAUACGAUUCGCCUCGCGUUCUCUUACCUCUCCUUCUACUCGUCGUCGUCGUCUCCUCCGGUGUGCUCGUCGUAGGAGGAGGAGCGGCGGAGGGAUCGGCGGCGAGAGGCGGCGGAGGCGGCGGAGCAGAGAACUACUACUCGAAGCUCUCGGGGAUCAUCAUACCGGGGUUCGCGUCGACGCAGCUGAGGGCGUGGUCUGUGCUCGAUUGCCCUUACUCCCCCUUCGACUUCAACCCCCUCGACUCCGUUUGGCUCGACACGACCAAGGUAACGCUACUCUACCCUCUCUAUCUAUCUCUCUCUCUCGCUCUCUCGAUCUCGAUUCGUGAUCCCGGUGGUGAGAAUUUGCUCCUAUGGCCGUUCCUCGAUGCCUACCGAAUUUUGUUGCAUUUCUCUGAGUGAAUUGAGUAAUUGAUAAGUUUUUUUAUACCGCAAAGAUGAUCGAUCGCUUAUUCUUCUUGUUUAUUUUCUCUCACUUGUGAUAUUUUGUUUGUUUAAUGAUGCUACACUUGGAUAUGGAUUGGAUUGGAUUGAAUAGGAUUGAAUUGGAUUUUUGAUAUUCUUAUUGUUGAAAUGGUUGUACAUAUCAAACAUUUAUGUUUGAUGGUUUGUAUAUGUUUAAGCUUCAAUAUCGUUUGCAUAGAUCUGUUGUUUUUUAUUAUUUGUUUGCGGCAUGUAGUUCUGGAUACUAUAUCCUUCAGUAUUGAUUUGACACUUCUACUUUGGAUGUUCGCAAUAAAUUCGUAUUCCAGUUUUAUAGAGGUUGUAUUGGCAUAUUGCACUUUUCACGUCUCCAAAUUUACUGAUAUGUAAUUAUAUAAGUUGAAAAGUUGGAGUAGAUGAUGGAGUAAAAUUUACUUUGCUUUCUGAAUUUAUGUGUUGAGCAGCUCUUUUCUGCUGUAAACUGUUGGCUUAAGUGCAUGAUGCUGGACCCUUAUAAUCAAACAGACCAUCCUGACUGCAAAUCGAGGCCUGAGGUCGGUCUUUCUGCGAUCACAGAACUAGAUCCUGGUUAUAUAACGGGUAUAUAAAUGCUUCAUCUCAUCUCAAUUUCUCUUUCAUAUCGGAUAAUUCUAAUCUGCUACCAUAUCUUUCAUUUCUUUGGUAAAAUAUGAAGAAACAUGUCCACUAAAGUGCAUUAUGAUUAGUUUACUUCAAGUUGUUGCUUUCUCUUGCCUUGAUAUUCCUUGGUGUUUUCCCAGGCAUUGACUGUUAUUAAUAUUCCAAAAGGAGUUGGAUAUUAGCUACUUAAAGCAGACGAUGCUCUCCUCAACUAGAUAUACAAAAUGCUUUUGUGCAAUUAUAGAACUUCAUAUAGUGUGAUAAAAAAAAUGUGCAGUAACGUUGUAUAUGUAGACCCCAUCCCUUUUGAAAAAAUUUCACACACUUCAAUCAACACGUGCUGUUUGAGAUUAAUGUAGUCCAUAAGUCUUCUUACUUUUCAUGCCCAAAAAUUUAUUGUGAUAAUAUAAGCAUAUUUCAGUGACGUAUGAAGCGAAACUUUACUCUAUGUUGAUUACUAUAUUUAAGCAAGAUUUUCCAGGUCCUCUUUCUUCGGUGUGGAAAGAAUGGCUUAAAUGGUGUGUCGAGUUUGGUAUUGAAGCUAAUGCAAUUAUUGCUGUUCCAUAUGAUUGGAGAUUGUCUGGAUCUAUGCUUGAGGAGCGAGACCUUUACUUUCACAGACUGAAGUACGUGGUUCUUAUGUCCCGUUACUCGUAUAUUUGGCAAAUUUCUUAAAGUGGUGAUUCAAUUGCUUUGUGAAAUGCUUUUUUUGUUUUCUCCUGAUUCUAUGUAGAAUCAUAACUUUGUUGGUUUUGAUAAAGGAUGAUAGUGUCAGUUCCUUCGAAUUGUCAACUCCGCAUUCUUUUUUUCCCCCCAGUUGUGCAUCUUUUUUGUUUCAACGUGUGAAUACUAUGUCUUUUUUCAAGUAAAAACAAUUUGAUCGCCUAUGUUGAUUGUUACAUUCUUUGUCCUACAGAUUAACUUUUGAAAUAGCUCUGAAACUUCGUGGGGGUCCCUCUUUGGUAUUUGCUCACUCUAUGGGGAACAAUGUUUUUCGCUACUUCUUAGAAUGGCUGAAGCUUGAAAUCGCUCCGAAGUACUAUACUCAAUGGCUCGAUGAUCAUAUUCUUGCUUAUUUUGCUGUAGGUAUAUGCACUUUAUUAAUUUAUACGUCGAAUACAUGAAUUCUAACCUGUCUAGGACGAUAGUUUAUUAUUAUGGGUGCUUCAACUUCAGGUGCUCCUCUUCUCGGUGCCACUGACUCCGUCAGAGCCACUCUUUCUGGAGUUACAUUUGGUCUUCCAGUUGGUGAGGUUGUUCCUUUUACCAACGGUCAUAGUCAGUCCGACUUUGCCCAUUGCUUCAUUUCCUUUUUUGUUUAUUGCUUUUAAUAUCUUUUCAUAAUGCAAUCUCUUAUACUUCAAAGUUAGCAGCACUAUGAUUAGGUACCUUGAAGUAGAUAUCUUGGUUUUUUUUUUUUUUUUUUUUUUUUUUUCUAAAUAUUUGGUAUGUGUGUGUGCGCGUGCGCUGAAUUUGCAUAGAAGACUAGCAGAGAGACUAAACAGAUGUGAUGCAUAUUUAAUCAUCUGAAAAAGCUUUAAAUAUCUGUUUAAAUUUGUUGUAUUUGUUUUCAGGGAACAUCACGAUUAAUGUAUAAUUCGUUUGGCUCUUCUUUAUGGCUGAUGCCAUUCUCAAAGUACUGCAAAGCAGACAAUAUAUACUCGAGACAUUUUUUUGAGGGAAGGGGAGGUCAACAGCACACUCUACAUUGUGAUGAGAUGGAAUUUCGUUCAAACUACUCUGGCUGGCCCACCGACAUAAUCAAUAUUGAGGUUCCUACCCAUCAAGGUGCUUUUCUAGCAUCACUUAUUUCUCCUAUUAAUAUAUUGUGGUGCCAGGACUAGUUAUUCUCUUGCCCUUGCAUGGAUUGAUGCAUAUCCGACAAUCACUGAAGUAGCUGAAAACUAGUUAUUCUCUUGCCUUUGCAGGGAUUGAUGCAUAUCCGACAAUCACUGAAGUAGCUGAAAACUUGACUGCUAGCAUGGAAUGCGGAAAACCUACCUUGUUGUCUUUUUCUGCUAGAGAAGUUUCAGAUGGCACUUUCUUCAAAGCAAUAGAGGAAUAUGACCCAGAUAGCAAAAGGCUUACCUAUCAGCUCGAGAAGUAAGCUUGGCAAAAAUAUAAAAGCAUGUUCUUACCACAGUGUUAGGUUUCUUUACACUAUGUGAUUACGUUCAUGAUCACUUGAAGGUGUAGUUGUCUUGAAGAAUUGACCUUUAUUUUGAUUAACAGAUCCUUAAUCUCUUCUUUACUUGUUGGCCAUGUAGUAUUUAAUUUCUUCAUAACAGUUUUCACGGCAGUUUUAAAUUUAUGCUGCCAUCAGAUGAUGUGAAAUAUGUAAUCAGAGUUUGCAGCGUGCAUGUAAUUUAUAUGGAUACAUGUUCAAUUUCCAUAACCUGGAAAUGUUCAUGCUAUUCUAUGCAAUUCCCUGUUAAGCCAUUUCUGAGUUAUUUCAUAUUAUUACAAUGCCAAUUUUGAUUUAUGCAUCUACGGAAGGCAUGUUGUUCUAAAUUUUAAUUGCUUUUAAUCUCAGGUAUUACCAGGGCGAUCCAGUGCUAAAUCCUCUUACGCCAUGGGAUAGACCACCACUAAAGAACAUAUUCUGUAUAUAUGGGAUUGAUUCGAAGACUGAGGUAGAAGCACAAAAUUCUUUAGCUGGAAAGAACUUUCUAGAGUAGCUUUUCCUUGGACUUUGUAAUAUUUUGAUACUGUUAUAGCAUCCCAUUAGCUGAUUUAUUGGCUAUACUAUUGUCUAUCAAUUCUCUGUUUACGGUCUUUUCUUUUUGGGUUUAAUUCUUAUAAAUAUUUUUGAAACUCUUUAAAUGGUCACUUGUUUUUCUUAUUCUGCUAGAUAGAUUUAUGAUGUGGCUCUAUCAGCACUUCUCUUCUGCUAGAUAAAUGCUGGAUAUUACUUGCAUGAGUUAUGUGGUUUUACUGUAUCCCUAUUUCAUGUGUAUGAUGCAUUAGGAUUUAAGUGUCAUAUUUGAUCUGUUAAAGCAAUUUUCAUUGGCAGAAACAUUGUAGAAUAGUUCCUUACAUGUUCUCCCUUCUCCUCUGGUAUUGUUAUCUAAAAGUUGUAUUGAAUAAGGAUAUUUGGCCUAAUGAAUAUUAUUAUGUACUUUUGAAACAGGUAGGAUACUAUUUUGCACCUAGUGGCAAACCAUAUCCUGACAACUGGAUCAUAACUGAUGUGAUUUAUGAAUAUGAAGGAACUUUACUUUCGAGGCAGGUGUCUUCAAAUUUUUCACUUAUGCGUGUAAUACUAGUAAUAAGCUCUUUGUAGAGUAGUAUCCAUUUUGUAGAGUGAUAUACUGCAAUAAAAGAUUUAUUAUAAUGUUACACAGUUGCUUUUGUCGAACUUCUGUAUUAGCCUGCUACAUGAUACUUUGACUAAGGACAUGGUUAUUUUGCUGGAAUGUAGUAGUUAGGUCCUUACUAAUCCAGGUCGUGUUUUCUGUGCAUAUUCUUCUCAGAUCAGGGAAUUCUGUUGCUGGAAACCCUGGUGCUUCAAGUGGGGAUGGAACAGUAUGUAUGAGAAGCGAUCUUUCCUUCUUGGCUAAGAUAUAAUAGCACCAUAUGUUUUUUAUUUUAAUAAAGAACAACACUAAGCUUGACAUCUGUUCAUUCAUCAGUAAAUUGCUGUAUUGCAGGUAUCCUAUAAUUCGCUUUCAUGGUGCAAGACUUGGCUCGGACCUAAAGUAAAUAUAACGAGAGCCCCACAGGUGCUAAAAUGGGUUUCGAACUCUUAUUGGUAGUUUUGAACCUCAUUAUUCAUCAAUUAAUAUCUUUCUAUAUACUUACAAAGCUUGCACUGGCUACCCAUAGCUAUCUCAGUUUCUCUUGUAAUCUUCAAAAUUAUAAAUGAAGAUUUUCCAACUAUCGCAUGCAAUAUUUCUUAACACUCUACCUUUUUCAAGUAAUUUUUUUAGUAAAGUAGCAUGUUGCCUCCUUUUUCGUUCAACAGGCUGAGCAUGAUGGAUCUGACGUGCAAAUAAGCCUGAACGUAGAACACCAUAGGGACAUAGAUAUAAUUCCAAACAUGACGAGAACUCCCCGUGUAAAGUACAUUACCUACUAUGAAGACUCUGAAAGUAUUCCAGGAGGGAGAACUGCAGUAUGGGAGCUUGAUAAAGGUACGACAGUUAUUCCUCGAGUAUUUUUGUACAAAUUUCAUUUAUUUUGUGCUUAACAACCAUUCUCCUUCAACAGGACACCACAGGAAUAUCGUAAGGUACCCUGUUCUGAUGCGUGAGCUGUGGCUUCAAAUGUGGCAUGAUAUACAUCCUGAUACUAAAACCAAGUUCGUGACUAAAGGUACUAUUCUAUAUCAACUACAUUUCCUUUAUUUAUACUCUUCAAUUUGACUUCCUUAGUUCGAGUACUAACAGAGGCUUGUAAACAGCCAGACGCGGUCCGUUGAGAAAUGUGGAUUGCCAUUGGGAUUAUGGGAAAGCUCGCUGUGCCUGGCCCGACCAUUGUGAAUACAGGUCCUUCAUUUUUUUUGAUACUUUCGUUCUCAAUCUUUCUCUUGAUUUGAUUUAACUUACAAUGAAGGGAAAGAAAAUCAUGUUAAUUGGUAAUCCAGGUAUGCAUUUGGCGAUGUUCACCUUGGUCAGAGUUGCAGACUUAAGAACUCAUCGAUAGACCUCCUCUCAGAGUACUUGAAAGUGAGCUUCUUUCCUCUUACUGUUUUUUCACCCCUUUUUAGCUGUAUGUUACACUUAAUACAAUUAUAUUGGGGAUAUACACAUUUUUGUUGUUGCAAUGAAUUAUUAUUAGCCUUUUCUUUAUCACCGACUUAUUAUGUCUUUGGCUGCAGCUUGAUUAGCUUUGAUGAGUGUCUCCAUCCGAUUAACUGGAGAAAAUGCAGGGGUGAUGCGGAAAGAGCUGUUGAUUAGGGAUUGACCUUGUGAGCGGGGAAAUUUCAUCACUGUUCACUGAAAAUUUUGAUUGCUUUGAUAAUCAUUCAUUGAGGCUGAGCAUUUAGUUUCACAGCAAAUACAAAUUUAAGCCAAAUGUAGCGUGAUUUAGUCAUAGCAUUUCAAAAUGUAGAUAUAUAAUGCCACAGUGGCACUCCCUAGCACACAAGGCAUUUUGCAUGGGUAUAGUUACUAACACGUUUUUCUCCUUUGACGACGACCUUAGAUAAUAUACGCUAUCAUAUUCCCUCAAAAGUUAAGCGUAUCUAUGCAAAUAAAAAAUUGUGCCAGAGGCUUGUCAUGCAUGCAACUUAAUUUACCGUCCGUGUUUGUUGAAAUCCGAGAGUGAGAUGUUCAAACUUCAUAAUUCUAAUUUGUUUGCUGAUUCAGUUGAAGUGUUUUUUGAUGCAAGUUUUAUUUGUGUGUUCGCGAUAGUAAGCAUGAUGCCGCUGAAGAUGAAGCUGGAAAUGGACGCGGGUUCAGAAAACUAUUCAAUUUUACCGAGUAACAAUACUGGCGAACAGAUUAAAUCUGCUCUGUGAACUAAUUAUAGAGACAGAAAGCAACAAACUUUUCCCCCUUUUUCCCCCAUCAAACUGUAGAUUAGAGGAGAAUAAAAAGAUUAAUUAAAAUACUUUGAUGGAGGAAAAAAAUAAGAACCUUCCCAAAAAAGAUGAAUCACUUUUUCGAUUUGACACGGUGAUAAAAGAUGAGAUUCCAGCUCUAAACGCCUGUAGGAAUCCCUCAAAAUAACAAUGUGAUGAUUUACAGUGUAAUGCUUUAAAAAGAAUAUGGCAAUUUUUCCGCUGUAAAUCCAUGAAACCAUAUGAAGCUGAAGAUUGGUCGACUCUUUCAGGUAUACAGCGUAAAUUUCGCACCGUAAAGUCUUUGAUAAUAUUGCAAUCAGUUAUAACCCACAUUACAAUUACGAAGUCCACGAAGUCCACGAAAUUUCGCACCGUAAAGUCUUUGAUAAUAUUGCAAUCAGUUAUAACCCACAUUAAUUUGCCAUAAUAGAUAGUUUGUCCUCAGCGUUUCUUGAUCUCAAAGGAAUAGUCGAGUUCCAGAUGACAUCUCUUGUCAUCAUCUUCAAACUGCAAGGAUUGAUAAGAAAAACUCAGAACAGUCUAAGGAAAAAGAUGAACUCCAGGAAAUUCAAGAAGUGGCUACAUAAAACUAAGCGUAACGAAUGUAUGCCUUGAGUUUUGCCGAAUAAUUUCCUCGGGCAAGCACGCCAGAUGGAGUAGUCUCCUCUUCCAGCAAAUGCUCGUAAGGGGCCCGUUGAGGAGCGAAUGUUCCAAGCAUUCCCUUACUUUCAUCGACUGAGAAAUAAAAAAAAAAAAUAGUCAGAAUGCUGAGGCUCUUACCCGCCCACGUCCUUCAAAAGGAAUUUCUAGAGUAUCAGUCCACAAUAUUUUAGUAGAUUCAAAUCAGCAUCUCUCUCUUUCUCCUUUUUCUUUCUUUCUACAGCCCUAAGUGCACACUUUCAUGAUGUGAUGUUCAAAUCUCCGGACUCCCAACAGGAGAAAAGAAACCUCCGGACUCCCGACAAGAGAAAAGAAACAAUUACGCCAAGGAGGAGAAAAAAAUCUUUGCUAGAAAUGAAUUGCGAGUUGCCACUAUACCUGUGAUGAAGCUUUUGGCUUCUACACAACCAGGUCUCAAUAUACUAAUUAUCACCUGGUAGAUCCAAUGGGAAAAUAGACUGAUCUGUAUAAAUGUAAUCAAAGGAAAGAGAAACCCACAGCCAAAGAGUAAGGCCUCAGGUAUAAACCGAAAGCAGAAGUCAUCCCCUCUCAUUGAUUGUAUUGUCCGCCUUCUCCUACCUAUGUUUAACGAUACUAACAGGACAAAGUUGGGUUGCAAAAUUAUGAAAAGAAUUCACGGAGCAGAUCAUGUUUAUAUGAUACCUUCCUGGAAGUCAAAUCCUUAUUUCAUCUUGUAUUUCUGGUAUGACUUGUCAUGGUGCAAUCAUUUAGGACGUGAAAUAUUAAUCGUGUACUUUGAGUCUAUAUAGCAGACACAGUUUAUUGAUCUCUUAUUCAGCUAGGUUUUUCAUGGCAAAAUAAAUGGAAAAAAAGAAACAAAACAAACCUCGGAGCCCUUUCUUCCAGACUCUGUUUACGUAAGCUAGGCCAGAGACUAUAUUAUGCUUGACACUGAAUGUAAGCUUUAGACGAUACUGGGAUCCCUCCUUUAGAGUGAAAAGAACACGGCUUUGAUUCUCCACAAUCGGCAAGGGCCUAACAAUUUCCGCACAGCCUUCGGAUACAAUUCCUAUAGAGUGAAAUAUAACUUCGGGGUCCAUUUGGCCUGCUGAAACAAAAGGAUUUAACUAAUUAAACGGAGUCAUAUAUUAAAUUAGGCCGCAUAAAGACAAAAAGUGGGAAGGGGACAGGAAAUAUAACCAUUUAAUUCUCCAUCGAUACAACCAAGCAGCUUCUCCUUCCACCUCCUCAAACUCUCAUCAUCCUGCAUAUAUCAUUGGUAGUUCAAGUUAAUAACAAUCUCUAAAGCAUUCUAUAAAAGAUAGAGCAAAGACACUAUCAAUUGCUUGGAUGAAUAGCAAGAUAACUAUUUGAUCUCACUCAUUUUGCAACAAAGAAAAGGAAAUUCGAUGAAAUAAAUCUGGUUAGCUUUGACAUUUCGUUGUUCCAUAGUAGGCUAGAAGCAAAGUUCGGUUAAGACACGGAAAACACCACUAACUCACGUGGAUAGCUGCAUAAUUAUUAGGAACUAAUUUUUCCUUCCUACUUUGGAUAGUGGCCUGAUUGCAACAAACAUUUUACUCCUAAUCAUCGAAAUUUCCGAGACUUUCAUAAACUAGGACACAUUUUUUGGAAAGAAAAGACGACGAUUAAGCUCAUUCAAAAAUCCGAGAAGUUUCCAGCCCACAUACACUCACGCCCCGAAAAAAAAAAAAAAAUCACCACUACCUCUGCCAAUAUUUAAGAACAUCUUGAUUCUAAUACAGGAAGUAAAUAAUCAAAAAGCAAAACAAAUUUACUAAAAUGUUAGUCAAUAAUCUACAGAAUUAUUAUCAGAUCGUACUCAUGUAGCACUUAAUGGUACUGUUCUUUUUCGAAUGAACAAACUCUCAGCAGCUAAAGAAGCUUAUAUAAUUCAGCAUUUCCACCAAAGGUGAAAAAAAAACAAAACAACAACAACAACAACAACAACAACAACAACAACAACAACAACAACAACACAACAUCAGUGAAACCCUAAAAUCAGAGUCAAUGCAAGUAAAAUAACAGAUACUCAAAAUAAUAAAUAUCAGGAUCAAGUAACAAAGAAUAACCCACAACAGCAUGGAGAGUCCACAAAAUCCCAGAAACGGGGGAAACAAAAACCCAUCUGAAAUAUAUAUCAUACCAGAACACCAUUACGCAACAAAUACCACGUCUAAGGAAGAAACCCGUUAAUAGAUCACUCAAAAAUAGCACUAAGAGUACUACAGAUGCUGAAAAAAUGAGCAAAAUAAGCAGAUCGGGACCUUAUCUUUCUCCAACUGCUCCUUGAGAGAGAUCAGAGGCCCGGGAACGAACCCAUCAACCCCAUCCUCCCUAUCGGUCACCACCUCCUCAUCAUUAUCGUCAUCACCAUGAUCAUCAUCACCACCACGCCCAUCCAACACCUCCUCCUCAUCGAUCCCCCGCUUCUUCUCCUUCUCCUCCCCUGCUUCGCCAUUGCUUCCCCCAGAGGCCGCGGAUGGAUCCUUUGUAGCCCCCGGAGACGACGAGCUCCCCGCUUCCCCUCUCCCGACCCCCUCCAUCGAUACCCAAAAACCUUCCUCUUCGAUCGAAAUCGAGGAGCGUUUCUUCUUAGUUACUGUUUUUAGUGUGUGAGGGUGAGAAUGAGGAAUGUUGUGUAUACGCUAAGACAAUUAUUUAGUACAAUUAAUUAAUAGCGACAUUUCCUUUUUCUUUUUCUUUUUCUUUUUUUUUUUUUGGUCGGUGUCGGCGCGCGGGAAGAGUGUUUCCAUGGGGAUUUUUUUCACUUUAAUCCAUUAAAACUUUAUAAUUAGACACUCAUGUUGUUCUAUAAAAUUAAUUAAAAAACGGUUAAUCAUCUAACCCCUUUAAUAAAAUUUAGAAGACGGUGAAUAAUUUUCUGUCUUUUUUUUUAUUAGAGACGGUAAAUAAUUUAUUGUCUUUUUAUUAAAGUAUAAAAAAUGGAUGAUUUAUUAUUUUUUUUAUUUUCAUAUAUAAUCUUAAUAACUAUAUAUAAAAAUUUCAACAAAUCACAUAUAUCUUAUAACUUAAAAUAUUUUAACAACUUAUUUACAUAAUUUUAACUAUAAAUAAAAAUUUAAUAAUUCUCAUAUAAUUUUAACAAUCUAAAAAAAAUUCUCACAAUAUAUAUUAAAAAAAAAUAACAAUAUGAAAACGGCGAAUGAUUCACCACCUUCGAAAGACGGUGAAUGAUUCACCGUUUUUCUCAGAUUAAUUAUCCAAAUAAAAUUUUUAAAAAAUUAUUUGAUAAAUUAAAAAUUUUAAUAAAAUUAGUGUGCAAAAAGUCCGUUUCCAUGUGAGCCCCCACGAACUGGGGAAGUUCGUGGCUACACUGUGGGCUAUGCAACGCGUGCAUAUGUUUUCCGUAGAGGCAAGGGUUGAGUUGACCCUUCGAUGUUUAGACGAUUCGAGUCGUGGUUCGUACAAUUUAAUUCUUUUUUAACAACUACUGCUUUAUCCAGCAGUUGUUAUUUGAGUUUCUGUGUUUUCUGGGUCGAGGUCUACAGACGAACUCAAACAAAGGAAAAAAAAAAAAAANAACAACAACAACAACAAACAACAUUUUGAUUUCGUAGAUGUUUGCAAGGAAGAGUGAACUUUGACUAAUUUGACUUACAUGGUGUUGAUUUUAGAGAGAAAAGGCAAUAUGAGAUUGGAUACGUUUUUGUUCGCAACAAUGACUCCAAUGAUUUGAUUUUGAGAAAAUUGAAAACGGAUUUAGUAAUACAAGAGUCCGGAGUUGUUAAUUGGAAUAGAAGGCAAAAGGAAAAGCUUUCCGGCCAGUUUGACACCUAUUCUUUCUUCAUCUCAAGAAGUAGAAGCUUAGUUAAAAAUAUCAGUAAGCUAUAAUAAUUUAGGAAUAAUUAUCUAUAUACCAUUCAAAACUUCAAAAAUUCUUCAUUUACCUUUACUUUUUUUCUUUCCAAUAUACCCCUCGCAUGUUCCUCCGUUAUUUCAAAAUACCGCUGCAGUAACCACCGGUUAAGUUAACUUGAUUAAACGUGAGUUAAAUAUCAACCACAGUUAAAAAAAAAUUAAAAUACUACUUUUAUUCUUAACUUAAGAACAAAUAAAAAAUAUUGAUGAUGAUAAAAAACUAUAUUUGAAAAGACCAAAAAGCAAAAUACUUUUUAUACUCCUAGCUUAAGGACAAAUAAAAAAAAUCAAUAAUGAUAGACGGGUAUAUUUGAAAGGACAAAAUAAUAAUUUCAUAAAAAUAAUAAAAUUAAUUAAUAGAUUUUAACUCUAAAAAUAUAUUAAAAAUAGGUUGAAACGUAAAAAAAAUAUUUUCAAUAUUAGCCUUCUAAAGGAGGUAAAUCAAAAAAUUGAAAACUUUUUAAAAAUAUAUAAGCAAUUGCCNCAGAGCACAUUAACAAUGUACAAAAACAACAUCAUGAAAACAUGAAGCAUUACUCUUUUUCUUUUUGGUUUUUUGUUUUAAACUAAAAACUUAGAAAACCCAAUGUCACCUGACCAUGAUAGACAGGAUGAGAGAGGGGUUGAAACUGGACCUGGAAAGCAGAAAAUAAAAGCGGCUUUAGCCUGAGAGAGAGCACCUGAGAAAAGCCUGCUUACCUACUGUGGUCAGAGAGCAGUAACAUUGCUGCUGUACAGAGCUUUGCAGAAGCCAAAACCACUCUGUCUCCAAAGAAGCCAUUUUCUCACCUGCUUUCCCCAACCAUUGUCUGUAUCCACAACUUUACAGCAGGUAAAAGAAAAUGAACACUAAUUAUACCACAAACCAACAAAUAAGACUAUUCAUAGCAAUCAUGGUAAACGGAAAUCUUUUUAUAUGAAAAGAAAAAAAGUAAUGGUGAAAAUGCACUUUGAAUUCAAAGCAAAUGCAUCAGUGAGAUCAAAAAGAGGCUCGGCAUGAACAAUGGAAAGACAUAAAAUUAAAUCUUCAUAUAGAAAGGCAUGUUUGCCCUUCACCACAGCAUGUAUUCGCAGGAUACAGAAUGAGGUAUGCCCCCACAACACAGAUAAUCGGCAGGCAUACCUAGCAUUAUCAGAGGACUAAAGUUGAGUUUUCCAAAUAUAAUGAGACUAAACAUAACAGUCACAUAUAAUACAGGGAGCAUCAGAGUAAAAACCACCUAUCGCUUUGUUAGUCAACAUGGAGAGUAGAGAGGGGCGGCAAAGACCACCACCACUGCACCCCUGCCCUCCUUUGAAAACCCUAAGCAGAGAGAUUAAAUGUGCUAGUUAAAGACCAGAGACAGUUCUGGCCUUCAAAAGUCCCCCACUUUCACCCAUUCGUAACGGCCAGGGAGCGGUUUUUCACUCACAGGAUCAAAGUUGUACCUGAAAACACCAUUAGUACGAAGUUGACUAAUGUUUUGUGAAAACAAAUUACAAGAAGCAAACUUUAUUAAUUAUGCCAGCUAUAACUGCAGAUAUAAACACCAAAGAAUCUUCACUAUGUUAGAAAUGGUACAGAUAUUGGAGUAUAUCUGUCAAAUUGACCGACAAGAGCCACAGCUUCAGCGAAAGACCAUGCAUGGGUUUGCCCCAGCUGGAGCUUCUAUAGAACACUAUUAUUUGAGUAAGCAAGCCGUUUGAAAAGACACCAAUAACUUUCCCAUUAAAACCCUCUCACAGCCUAAUGCUGCAACAGAAUCAGAAAUUUUAAUUUGGCGCUUCUGCUUUUGAGGACCAAAAGUUCGUUUUAGCUUCCCAUAAUAACAAAUGUUCAAGACUUCCAGUGUGCCAAAAACAUGAAUGCUGCUUCUCAGUACCCAGGCAAAUGGGGAAAAGGACAACCUUGAGGAGUAAAGAUGAGGAGAUAAUAAAGAGAGCAAACAAAGGAGAAGGUACAUACUUUUCUCUGAAAGCUUUCUGUUGGCUUUGCUCAUUAUUAGCAAAGAGAUUUUCAAUAUCUUGGGAAUAAGGUAGGUCUCUGGACACCGCACCCGGUGCCCUCCUCAAGGAGGUAGAUGAAUAUGUAGGUCUGUUUGAAGAACCAGGAAUCUCUAUAGCAUCCGGAUCCCUUAUCAGACUGGAAGGUGUGCUCUCUCUCGAAUUCCUGCACAAGUAUAAAGAUGUAAAAAAUCUUUGGAAACAGAUAAUUAGUGCACGAGUUCUCUAUCAAAUUUUUUCUGAUAAAGUAUGGAGUAAACUAAGUAAUAUACUCGCAUUAAACUGCAUGAACUCCUGAUCACAAAUUAUUCUCUGAAUAAUUAAGACCAUGCCCAUACCAAACAUGUAAUCCAAGAAGCGGCUUCACCACUUUAGCCGUUGACCAUAUCCAACAACUAGAAAUGGGUCUAUUAUAUACUGUCAAGUACUCUUUGAAAAGAAAUAUGUCUCCAAAGUGACAACAAUCAAAUGGUUGUCCCCAAAUUCAACUAAAACUUCAAGUGCAUUUUGUGUGUGCAACAUCAUCUACUGACAAAAUGAUAACAUCCACUAGCCAAAAAUAAGUCCUAGUACCAAAGGCAUAAUCCAUAAUCAAGCUAUCAAGACAAACGCCUUCAUUAUUAACGACAGCCUAGUAAUCUCCUUAGCAAAGAUAACCAACUGCAAAAAGACAAUGUACACUAGAUAAGGGACCUGAAUUGGAAAUAAAAGUUAAUAUGCUGCAGAAGUUUUCCUUUUUUUUUUUUUUUUUUUUUUUGACAUAACAUGCUAAAGAAGAUUGUAGUUUUACAUGUUUCAAAAAAAUAACAAGCAGCAAAUUUUACAGAAAAAAACACGAUAGAAAAACUUUCAAUGAGGUUAGAUACUGCAAAAGGGUGACUUAGAAUUAUAUUUUAUAAGGACAGAAAACCUAAAUGCCAGUGUGGGAGUUAUGGAGAUGUAGAGACCCUAAAUUGCUUAUUUGUUCCUUUCAGGAUAGUAAUAUUGAUAAAACUACAUGACUAGAGAACAUUAAAUAAGUAUAAGUUCCUGCUUGGCCUGGCUCAUAAAGCUACUCUAAUUCAGGAGCAGAAGCAAGAGAUUUGCAACAGCAAGGUAUACAGCUUUUGGCCCGAGAAUUAAACGGAAAUCAGUUUCUAAACCACCAAAAGCAAAAGCUCACAAUUUAGAGCUCCUACUUUUAGCUUGUCAAGAAGCUAACAGGGAAUUCUAGAGAAAGAACUGUUUAUUGGUCCCUUUAGCAUGUCGAAAAUCUUUACAUGGAAACUUCUGCAAAGGCUCUAGAUGACUGAAAUAACCCCUACAUCACAAAGUAGAUGUGUAGAUUGUUUAUGGAUAAUGUAAAAGUGGUUAUAUUUAUAUUUUAGCCUACUUGAAAAAGUACAAGAAUAAAUUUCAUAAUCGUCAUAUUUAGAACAAUCAACUCAUAAAGAAAAGAACAGACAUGAAAAGCGAACAUGAAGUUGGGAAAGAAGGGGUAUUUAAUUCAGGUAUUGUCAAAAAUAGUAAAACCCCUGGCAACCAUAAAUGACCAUAACCCUCAAGUACCCAUUUCACUGAAUAACAGCAAAUCUCCACAUUAUAAUAUUACUAGUUGUUUAAUCAGUUGGGAUAAUUUCUGAAAGUGACAACUGCUAUAGAGAAAGUAAUAUUGCGAAGGAUUUUUUUUUUAAAAAAAAAAGACAGUGAAAGAAGUGAAAAGUGGAAACCAGAAGAAUAUAACAGAAAACAGAAAAAUGAAAUAGAAAAGGCAAUGUGAGGUAGCAGAAGCUUGUUAUUGCUUUUUGUAUCAAAGUUCAUAUAAAAUUAAAUUCCAAUAUUAAUCCAUUAAUAAACAAAUGACUUUGUCUUAGUUUCAGCAAAGCAUCCUAUGAGCCAGAAUUCAUGAAAACUAGGAGCAAAACCAAUAAUGAGAUGUAUAAUGAGUUACACAAAAAGAAACUUCUUUUCCUCUCCUCAUCCCCAAAAAGCCCACUAUCAAACAUAGAGAUAAAAUCUACUGUAAAAUAGCAGGGGAAAGAAAAAUGUGACACAAGCCAAAGCACAAUAAGUACGUGUAAGCAAGUAUAUCUGAAAAAUGAAUUGGAAACCCCAAAGUAUGAUGAGAAUAUGGAAUAGAUUAAAGAGGAAUACUCGAAAAAAAAAAAGAAAAUUUCGUAAUCACCGUCAGAGCGCGAAUGAUGGUUUGAUCUGAAAAAUGAGCUCUCUUUCAAAAACAGAGUAUACAAGGUUGUUCAACUGCGAAGCUUUAAUUUGCAAAUACAAGGAGCUCCAAUAUAGUAAUUGGUUUACGAAUACUAAGUUCCCAAUUCCUGAGAAUCGAAUAAGAUAGAGCAAAAUUGGAAGCUCAUACUUCUACCAAAGAGAGGUCUAUAUCCCCAAAAUUACCCUAAAAAGAACAAUUUUGAGCGAGAAACAAACCCUAGAAAGAGCAUACGAGAAAUGAAACCCUAAAUUCGGAAAAUUUCGAACGAAAAACAACCUGACACAUUCGAUCUCCGCAGCAUUAUCCCCAAAUGAAACCUCUACGCCAGCGUCGAUCCCCGGCGAAGCCCCCGAACCUUCGUCCUUCUCCUCCUCCUCCUUCCCCCCCAAGCUCGACAUGCCCCCAUCUUCCUCCAUCUUUCUCGGCUCGCUCUCCACUUCGGGACCCAUACUCGCGCUAGGGCUUCCAACUGCAGCAGGUUUCGUCGGGCUAGGGUUAGCCUCACUCUUCACCCUCUCCCUCCGGACCGUCCCCGUCGCAGCGGCGGGGAAGCGCUUCUGGAGGCGGCGGCUCCGGAGCUCGAGGUACGAAAACGCGGAGGGGUCGAGGGCUCCUCCCUGUUGGAGGCGGCGGAGGGCUAGGGUUUUGGCCCGAGUGAGGACCCCUAAAGAAGAACCCUUGUGGGCGGCGAGCUCCAUGACCCCCAGAUCGCCUGGGACUUUCUCCUUCCUCACGAACUUGCCCAUGUCCACAAAACCCUAAUCCCCCAAUCUCCUCUACUCCUUAGGAUCGUCUCAUAUAAGGGGUUAAGGAAGAGUGGGAGAGAGAGAGAGAAAGGAGCAGCGUGGGGAGUACAAAUGGCGAAAGAGAAGAGGAGAACGAAGCGUAGUAGGGAUCUCGGAGAGAGAGAGAGAGAGAGAGAGAGAGAGAUGAGGCCGUGAGGAGGUGGUGAUGUAAGAGAGAGAGAAAGAGAGAGAGAGAGAGAGAGAGAGCGAUGGGGUACCUGAAAAGCAUAGGAGAAGGAGAGUAGUGGAAAGUGAAAGACGAAUUUACUUCUCGUCGAAUCAAAACACAACACUUGGACCGUGAAAAUGACUUCCAAAUAAUGCCCACUGUAACUUGGAGUAAAAAUAUGAAAGGCCAUUUUGCAUAAAAAUAUUCAUAAAUUUUAAGGUUUUUUUAAAUUGCAUCAUCUUUUUUUUAUUUGUAAAUUUAGUAUGAUUUUUCAGCAAAUUGGUUUUUUUUUUCUCUCUUUUUUUUUUCUCUUUUUCUUUUAUUUUUUCUAUACGAAAAGGUAGCAGAGAUGGAGGUGGCUCGUCUCUGUCCUGCACACCCUCGCACUCUACCGCACCCGCACCCCCCGCCUUCUUUGCCUGCCACAUGGCUACCUUUUUUUUUUUCUCUCCAACCCUUCUGCAUCUCCUCCACAGCUUUUUCUGAUGAUAACAAGAAAGGUAGCGCGUUUUCUUCCUCCAUCUUCGCCAUUCACUUUUAUUGCAGUAGAUUUUGCACCCACCAAAUCCACUUCUAGAAAUCCACGUUCCCACCAUCACCGCUAACGAUAAAAGAGGAAGCAUUUCUCGGUGCCAAAAAUCUCGUUAGCAAGAGAGGGGGCACGCGGCCUACCCGCCUACUCCAGAGGGCAGCCGCGAGCGCAGUCUCGGAGGCGAAAAAGGCGAGGGAUAGAUAGGCGCAUCUCUGAAUUAACACUUUUGUUUUUUUUUUAAAAAAAAAAUAACUAAAGGCCAAAAGUAGAGAAUAAUAAAGAAAAAUUAACUAAAUGCAGUGGAGGAGGGUCAGAGAGAAAAAAAGAGGCGGCAAGGUCGGAGGCGAUGAGGGCAGGGGGUGCGGGGAGGUCAAGGGCUAGAGUGCGUGGGGCAGAGGCGGGCUACCUCCUCCUCCGCUGCCUCUCCGGCGAUAUAAAAAAAAAAAAAAAAAAAAAAAAAAAAAAAAAAAAAAAAAAAAAAAAAAAAAAAAAAAAAAAAAAAAAAAAAACACGAGAGAAGAAAAUGAGAGAGAAAAAAGAAUAAGGGUAUUUUGGACAGUUUGUUAAAAAUUCGGACUAAAUCUGCAAAAUCGAAAAAUACGGCUUAGUUUUGCAAAAAUUUAAAACUAGUGAAUUUUUUAUGCAAAUUGGCUAAUAUUUACCCAUAAAUCAUACAUAGCAUUCAUCAGAUAAAAUUAUUUAUCAUAUUUAUUUGAUUUGUAAAAAAAAAUUACUAAUAAAAUUAAGGUGGUGUACGAUAUAUACAUAGGCCAAAAAAAUUUGUGUAAAUGAAAUUAUUUCUUCAAUUAAGAUAAAUAUUACUGCACACUCUAAAAAAUUGUAUAUUCUAUACAUAUAAAUCUUAACAUAUAAUUUUUUUAAAAAAAUUAGUAUUUAAAAAAUUAAUAAUAUAAGAGUAUUUUGGGUCCAUAAACGAGGGGGUAGGGUGUAAAGAUAACAAUGCACUUUGUCAAUGCUUUUCUAAAAAAUUUUAAUUUUAUAGAUAUCCCUUCAAAUUAAAACUAAUUAUUAGUGUCUUUAUAAAUAUUAAAGAAUUUAGGUUUGUACUUUGGAUUUGGAAUUUAGAGAGGCAUUUGUAAUAUAUUUGUUUGUUAUAGAGGGAUAUGAAUGAUAGAUUUAUGUAUUGAGUUAUAAUUAUAUUUCAGAUUUAGAAUGGCAUUUUAUGAUAUUUUGAAGCUCUAGUAAAUUAUGCUUGAAAUUAUUCCAAUAAACUUUAGAAAUUAUAAAAUAAAAAUAUUGAAGUAUUAUAUAGUGUGAAUAUAUUUAUAAUUUGAGAUUACGGUAAACAUGUGGUUCAAAAGGAAGACAAAAAAAAAAAAUCAGAUCGAAGAAAGAGAAUAGUUUUAACUGAUAUACAACAAUACGUUAAAUGUAGAUUAUUUUUACAAAAUAUUAAAAUUUUUAAAAAAUAUAUAAAUUACUUAAAAAUAUAAAAAGAAUAUCAGUUAUCUGUAUGGUUUUAAGCAAUAUAUACUUAGUAUUUAUUUAUUUUCUUUUAGAGUAAAAAUUAUUUGGAAAACUAUGAGCUAUUUUGAGAAAACAAAAAUUAAAAUGCUACGUGCACGACAAACGGCCCCAACCCGACUCGUUCGACCGCACCCAACAUUCGAAUCUUCGAGACAUAAAUCCCCGCGCCGCGAAGUCUCUAGGGGGGUUUGGGUUCGCCGCUGAACCAUCUCCUAACCGGACACGUGUCAAGAAUCCCAGCGACUAGUAGCUUCUAGAAGUUCCGUUCGUAGUUGCCGCGGCGCUGACCCACCACCCUAAAACGCGGAAAAUCUAAAAUGCGCCGUGCUUCGAAAGAGCGGGAAUCGAGCGGCCACGCGCAUCGCGCUCGGAGAGCCGUAGAUCGCACCAACGGAAUCAAUCCUACCCGUUCGUUUUCGUAACGCUCUCCUUUAAAAAGGGCUCCUCCCCCUUUACGGUUUCUCGCAUUUGCGAAUUUUUUUUGUCCCUUUUCCUCCCCCCUUUUUUUUUUUUAACACAAUCGAAGCUCGUCUCUCUUCGAUUCAGGUUUGAUUUAUCCUUUCUUUUUUUUUUUUUCUCUCUCAAUGGUGCUAUCUUAUUUUUUUUCCUAUUUUUUUUGUUGUUUUAGAUGCUGUUUUGGAUGUGAUUUGUCGCUUUUGUCCCUUUUUAUAGAUAGUUAUUUGGUUAAUUUUCUCAAUAUCGAUUUAAAAUCCAAUUUUUUGAUGCGACGUGAUUCUAUUACUCAACGUGGUUUUCGUUGAGGUUCUUAAUUUAGCACUUUUUAUAUAUCUAUAUUACCUUUUUUGUUUUUGGUUUAUUCCUAUGUUUGUACAGCAUAGAAUCAUUUAUUGCUAAGUUCCUAAUAAAUAUUCGCUAUUUCGAUUGUAGGGUGUUGCUGAGAAAUCUCUUACUUUUUCUUAAGAAUCCAAAAAAAAAAAAAGAUUAAUCCAUAAUUGCUGCUGUAGAGUAAUAAGCAACAUGGCAGAGGUAUGUAUGAUGCAUGCUUUUCUAUUUUAUUUUAUUUUAUUUUAUUUUUUUGGUUGUAGUUAUUCCUCAGGAACUAACACAUUAUUCGGACGACCGCAUAUACGUAGAUAUGUAUAUUUAUGUAUUUAUGUUUCUAUAAAUUAUAUAUUAUAUAUUUUGCAGGAUGGGCACAGAGUCACUUUGAAUGUGUAUGAUCUUAGCCAGGGGCUUGCUAAGCAGCUAUCAGUGACAUUUUUGGGCAAGACCAUCGAAGCGAUUUGGUAAGAUGUUGCUCAAUCUGUGCGAUAUUCGCUCUAUCGACCCCCUCUAAGAAGAAGAAUACUUCUUUGCGCCUUUUGAAUUAUAUUUACUUGAAUAUAUCCUACAAAAGCCAAAAAUUUUAGCUAAAUGUUUUAUGGGACAAUGACUGGGUCUUUGAAACAUUUUAUAUGUUUUUAUCUAAUCAUAUUUUUGUCCUUUUUUCUUCUUUUUAUAUGUACAAGGGAUGUUUCCUUCGCACUCUCGGUGCCGAUUCGGUAAAUGAACAAUCUAGAUUUGGUACAUAAUUGUUGGUAAUGUAAAGUGACAUACGGGUGCCACGCGGUGCUUCUCAUGAACAUAAUUUUUGAAAUCGCGCGAAAUGUAUUAUACUAGUUAUUAUGCGCAUUUAUGAGUUAGUUGUGCUGUCCAUAAUACACUUUUUCGGAAAGUGAAAUUGUCUACUUGCCAUGUUCUUCUCAUGCAAAUUUGUUGAUUACAGUAAUUUGAGGUGUCAAACAUUGUUACUCCAAUUGAAUUACAUCUUAUUAACUACCAUAUGCCACAGGGAAACAAUUUUGGCUUGUUGAUUGUGCUGUAACUUUAUACAGGCAUACUGGUGUUGUGGUAUACGGAAACGAGUACUACUUUGGGGGAGGCAUCCAACAUGCUCCCGCCGGAUCGACCCCAUAUGGCUCUCCCAUCCGGGUUAUCGAGCUCGGGAUAACGCAAGUGCCCCAAGAGGUUUUCGAGGAUUUCCUGCAGGACAUUAGUUCUCGAUACACCGCAGAGACCUACAGGCUUCUCAGCCACAACUGCAACAACUUCAGCAAUGAGGUCGCGCAAUUCUUGGUGGGCACCACGAUCCCAGAUUACAUCCUCAACCUCCCCAAUGAAGUUAUUUCUAGCCCGAUGGGUCCUCUGAUAUGUAAGUAUGAUCAUAUGUUUACUAUCUUUUCCUCACCAAGUACUCGUUGAUAAUAUAACUAAAUAUGCUCCAAAAGCAAUUCUUGGUUGCUUAAAUUUUUAGACAAUUUUUUCUAAAAAUAUUUUUCCCCACAGCAUGGUAUCAGAUCCUGACUUGUGAGCUCGAAAUCCUCAAUGUCUAAUCAAAUAUUUGAUUUAGAAAACAAUCCUACUUAGUUCAAGGGUAUAGAAGUGUGGAAGUCCCAUUAAUUUCCCGAUACUUCAAUUUUGCUCUUGUACAAUAAACAGAUAGGGAUGAGAUUAAGUCAUGUACCUAUUGAAGUGAAAAAUUCAGGGAGUAAUUUGUGUUUUAUGAAUUACGAAGACUAUCCUUGUAUUUAAAUUUUUGUGUCCUGGACCUCUUUAAAUUCUCAAUCUUAAUUUUAAGAAGACUAAUACACUUUUCUAGUCGUUUGAGCUGUUACAAGAUGUAGUUUUCCGAGUCUCUUCAUGUAUGUGCAGUACCGAUGAUUCAACAGCUCGAGGCAACCUUAAGAGCCGGAGCAGUUCCUCAGCCGCCUCAGUUCCAACCUUCGCUUGCUUCAAGAGCUCAGCCUUCUGUUCCUUCCACCAUCCUUGUAAACCCGAGAAAACUUGCGAGCUCUGAGGACAAAAGCGGUGAUUCCAAAAUCUCAUCACAUCCUCAGCUUCCGGAACAAGCCAAAGCAGUCCCAGCUGCAGCUGAAUCUAUCAAACUCGAGAAGGAGAAGCAGCAGCCACCUCCUGCCUCCGAUCCUCUCGGGGCCGCACGGAGCAAAGUACAGGAAGAGAUCAUGAGGGAAUUCAGAGCUAUAAUGGCGGCUGGAGACAUGCACGCGAGCGAGGCUGCGGCGCUUGCGACGAGGAGGGUUAUGGAGAGGUAUGGGCGGUUGGACGCCUCGGCCAUGCAGCAGGCAUGAACAGGAUUUGCCAUCCCCUUCUAUUCUUAUUUCUCCUUUUUUCUUUGAGAGAUCAAAGUGUGCUACUUUCAUGAUUGAGAGAAAUUUCUCAAGGCAUUUACUUUUAACUGUAAAACAGCAUAUUCAACAAGUGUAAAAUGUUUCAGUGUGCUUUGCUUAACUAUGGUGCUUGUCAUUGUAGAACAGUUUAUACAAGAAGCGAAAAAUGUUUCAUAUAUGCGCUCUGUUUAACUAUUCUGUGUGGUGUGUGGAUAUUCUCUGCCAGUUUAUAUAUGAGUCCAGCAGUGCAGCGUGAUGCACGAUUUAACAGUAGUACAGUGAGUGUCCGAAUAUGCAAAUCAUAACAAUUAUAAUUAUUUUUUCUUUAUAUCAGAUUCGUUCUGCCGCCACUGACGAGUGCAAAUUUUUUUAAAAAAUUCAGACUCAUUUUGCGGCUCUUCUCCACAAUAUUUAUUCUAUCUGAUAUGGUUCCAUCAAUAUUUUAUGCAUCCGAUCGGCCUCGGAUAGUUGAUGCGACAUCAAUAUUUUUGAAAUUUAAAUACUAAUACAAUAUUUAAAUCUUACAUAAAAGACGGAUAUCAUAUUUAAAUCAUAAGAUAGCUAUCAGACUGCUGCCACCAGCACUCAGGGUAUGGCUCUCCCCUCCAUUUAUCUCCAAUAAUUUGUGAUUAUUAAUUUCGCUCGUGCAGGUUAUAUUUAUCGUAUUUAGAUAAAAUUACUAAUUAUUUUUUUUAAUAUAAAGUAAUCAGUUCCAACAUCUCAGGCAUUGCUUGAGACGGUAAUAGUAUCAUUUGCAUUUCUUAUUUUUUGUUUUCUUUUUUUUUUUUUUUUACCAUUGAUGUUACUUAAUAGAAAUUGGAGAUAGAGCUCGUGGGAUGAGGGUACCAGCAACGGAAGAAUCGGGCUAAUGCAGAAUCUGAUCAUUCAAAAUAGGCAGCGCUGGUAACGUUCUUCGCAGCAAAAGAACUCUUAGCUUUAGAUUUUUAGAAAUUCAGUGAAUAUUACAGUGCUAGGAUAAUUUCGUUCAAUAAUAUGAUUAAAAACUUUUAAUUUUAAAAGGAAUAAUAUUCUCUUAAUAAUAUAAAUAAUUAUUAAUGAAAUAGAGAGAGUGAGUAUCUAACGCAUUACUGAAUGCAGAUAAAUUUAAAAUAUUUGAUAAAAUUUUUGAAUUAUCCUUGAGAUGUCUCAAACAUAUAUAUAUAUAUAUAUAUAGCAUGAGUAGCAGGCUGUACAGGUUCCACUGUAGAGAAUCCGACCCCGUUGAAAUGUAGACCCCAAUAGUCUGAUGCCACGUAGCAGGUUGUACCAAUUUCACUGUAGAGAAUCCGAACACUGGUGGGCCCAUCAGAAUACCUACUACCAAGUGAACGGCACGUGCGCACGUGUGCCGACCACAGAACCAUUGCCCACCGUCCACUAUUAUUUUCGCCCCCGCUCUCCCUCCAUCUAAGCCGUUGGAUUUCCGAACAGCUGCGUCCCACCAAACCCAACGGAAGAAGUUUCUAUAGGCGCAGGCAUCGCCUACCCACGACCGGCCACGUCAUCGCCUUGAGAAAAUCUGAGCCGUUCGUUGCAGCGCAUUCGGUGUUCUCUUCCCCGAAGACCGUGGUGUGAAUGGUGGACCCAAUGUUCACCGGCCACAAAACGAGAAAUUAAUCGCUGCACCAAGUGCAUCCGUACAUAUAAUGCACCAUUCUCAACCGUGAUUGAUCAAUGUUUUGAAAUUAAUCAAAAAAUUCAAUAAAUAUGAUCUGCAGUAUGUAGAAAGUUCAUAAAUAAAGUAGAAUUUUAAUCUUUUUAUAGGCUUUUUUUAAAAUUCUAUUUAGAUUUUGAGAUCCAGUAUAUGAGAGAUACACCAGGUGCAUGCAACAAACAUUAUCCCGAAAAUCAGCUUGCCGAACAGCAUUACCCCAAUUUUCCUAUAAAAUUCUGCCACGUGUACUAUCGGUAUGCAUUUUAAUUGGUUCAUUUCGCUGCGUGGUGUUAUGGUGUCCGCAUCGCGGGAUCCAUCACAAUCCGGAGCUAAUCAAUUGCACCAAUCCCCACGCCUCCGAGCCUCCACUAGCUUCGGAUCCGAGCCUUCUCGAACCUCCAGGUUCGGAGCUCGAGCCGACGUUCCGAAGCCCAGGCCGCGAGCUCGAAGGCUCGAAGCUCUUCAUUACUCUCUCUCCACCCCCUCCCUCCUCUCUCUCUCUCCUCUCUCUUUCUCUCUCUUCUCCGAGGCGGUGCGAAAACGAAGAGAUAUUAUCGUUGUCAUUGUUGCUCGCGAUAGAGCUCUCCUCCUCCUCCGGAGCCCAGCAAAUGCGCCGCUCCACGAAUUUGAAGCGGUUUACUUCUAAGGUAGGCGAUUUUUACUCUAAUUGUCCGCUAUUUUUUUCCCUUUUGCGAUCGAAUUUGGUGAAUUGGAGUGUGAGAUGUGGUGACAGAGGUGAUAAACAGUGUUUGAUCGAUAAUGUAGGAUGUGAUCCCACUGUUUCUGUUGAUUUUAGUUGUGUAAUUGAGGUCCUCCUCUUACUUCCCUCUAUAAUUGUUAAAUUAUGUUAUCUAUUAUUUGCGAUUUUGUGAAGGAAUGAUGCUAUAGAGAGUAGGGAAGUAGCGAAUUAGUUGUGAGAUUGCUCGAUCGCAGCAUGGCGCAGAGUAAUUGGGAAGCGGAUAAGAUGUGAGUACUGUGUGAAUUUCAAAUUUGGCCUUAUUUUGAUGGAAUUGAAAGUUUCUCUUAUGGUUUUUCCUCUUUUUUUCUUUUGUUUAUUCUAGGCUCGAUGUGUAUAUUUAUGACUAUUUAGUGAAGAGGAAUCUACAGAACACUGCGAAGGCCUUCAUGACUGAAGGAAAGGUUGCUGCUGAUCCAGUAGGUAAUGGAGGAGCUUCUUUGCUCGCAUCGCCGUGCUUAAUGUAUCCCGAGUUUGUUUACUUCAUUGAAUUAUGAGACUUAGGAAAUCAUCUCCUCGAGAAGUAACUUCUGUUCAUUUUCUGCAUUAGUAACAUAUUAUUCUAGAAGUAGGCUAUUAAAGAAUCGUUCACAGUGAUUUCACUACAUACAUUUGGGGAAAGCAGUAGAUGUAAGCAUAACUCGUUUUAAGUUUACGUAUCCAUUAACAAUUCAGCACAGAAAGAACAAAGCUGAUCCAAAGCACGUGGUUUCUUGCAUCUCACGCGUUAAUAAUCUAGUAAGAAAUAAAAGCUCAUCCAAAACAUUAAAUAAACUUAUUUAGGAACUGAUAAAGGUUCAUUACCUUACUGCACAGCAAUUGAUGCUCCUGGAGGCUUCCUCUUUGAAUGGUGGUCUGUUUUUUGGGACAUUUUUAUUGCAAGGACAAAUGAAAAGCACUCCGAGGUUGCGGCAGCGUACAUUGAGGUUGACAUUAUAUACACUCUGUAUCAUUUAUCUUAGUUCCACUUAUUGUUUGUCUUAGUAUUUAACGCAUAUAUCUUGUCGAAACCACAGACACAACAGAUGAAAGCGAGAGAGCAGCAACAGCAGUUACAAAUUCAACAACUGCAGCUUAUACAGCAACGACAUGCUCAACUACAGAGAAAUAAUGCUAAUCAUCCUUCUCUUGGUGGUUCUAUAAAUGCUAUAAACACUGAUGGGAUUUUGGGGCCAUCAACUGCCAGUGUUUUGGCUGCCAAGAUGUACGAAGAGCGGUUGAAGAACCCACACACAAUGGAUUCUGAGGCAUCGCCGCAGCUUCUCGAUGCAAGUAGGAUGGCUCUUCUCAAGUCGGCAGCAACUAAUCAUGCAGGGUGAGAUCUUAUGUUUCGGUAAUUCGGUCCCUUUUUAUCAUAGGUUGCUUAAAUUGUUGGUGUUGCUGAUUUCCGUAUUUCUUAAAUUUCUGUAUGCUAACAGACAGUUAGUCCAAGGUAAUCUCGGCAAUGUGUCCACAACUUUGCAACAACUACAGGCGCGAAACCAGCAGACAGCUGUAACUUGUUACACUUUUGACUUUUCAUUAUUGUGUAUUUAUUCUUACCCUUUUAUUUCAGCAAUGCUAUAUUGGCUGUUUUUUUUUUUUUUCCCUUAUUCUCUUACUUUUCAUAAAAUCAGCAGGAUAUGAAGACUGAGCCUAACCUGGCUGUAGAUCAAAGGUCUAUGCCCAUGGACCCGUCAUCGAUAUAUGGGCAAGGGAUUAUUCAGUCAAAAUCUGGAUUAGCUGGUGUGGGUAAGUUAAUUUCCUGGAUAACAAAAUUAAAAAGCCUUUUUUUAAAGUUAAAUUUCUUCGUAUCCUUGUCUUCGUCAUAAUUGAUUGAGCAUUGAGCAGUAUCUGGUGAAUGCCUUUUGUUGUUAUAAGUGUCAUUGUUGGUUCUUUAGUUCUUUUUUUUUCUUUCAACUGAGAGUUGUAAUGCAAUUGUAGUAGUGAAGUGCAUUAAAUGGAUCGCAACACCCUAGUAGUCCUAGUGAGGUAAGAAUUAACACUGUUGUUGCUGUUGAUCUCUUGGUUGCUAACUUCGCAGGAUUGAACCAAGGUGUCAGCGGCCUUCCUUUGAAGGGCUGGCCACUAACUGUAAGUUCACCAAAUUUCUUUUGCUUCCUUUGUUGUUUGAGCUGACCAUAGCCUGCUGUAUCCAAUUUUGCUUUUCUCUUUCAGGGGAUUGAUCAGUUACGUCCAAAUUUUAGUCCACAAAUGCAAAAGCCAUUUGUAUCAACACAGCCACAGUUUCAACUUAUGUCAACUCAACAGCAACAACAGCUCCUAGCACAGGCCCAAGCACAAGGAAACCUUGGAAGAUCACCCAAUUAUGGCGAUGUGGAUCCUCGAAGAUUUAGAGCUUUACCAAGGGGUCCCACAAAUGGUAAAGAAGGUCAACCUACUGGAACUGAUGGAUCGAUAGGUUCUCCAAUGCAGUCAAGCUCUCCAAAGGUCAGACCAGAGCAAGCUGAAUAUCUCAUGAAGGUUAGUUUCUUCAGAGCUUGAAUGAAUAGAUAUCAGUGACUCUUGAUUUAGAGUGCAUAUUUUUCUAAGUAAAAAACAUAAAUAUUCUUGUAAGUAAAAGCAUACACACUUAACCUGAACAAUGGCGUAUUACUCUUGAUUUAGAGUGCAUAUUUUUGUAAGUAGAGACAUACAUAUUUUGCAAAAACGUACACAUAUCUGUAAGUAGAGACAUACAUAUUUUGUAAAAACAUACACAUCUAACCUGAACAAUGUUGUUUUUUGGAACGUACACUUUUAACUCUGAAAAUUAUGAUUUUACUACCUUACAUUUCAGUUUGUUUAAUUUACCUAACUCUUCUUCAAUGGGAUGUUCUGUAAUCUAACGAGAAUAUCAUGCUACAUAAAAAGAAUUUUCUACGACUUUUUAGGUGGAAAUUGGUAUGUUCUAAUGGAGCUUGACGGAAUUUCCUAAAAUUAGAAGCAAUGCAACGAUAACUAGUAAUAUAAUAACGUCCAAUUUUCAGCUGUGCAUUUCAAAAUGCGCUAUAUUUCAUGUAACAACUGCACAAUUUUACAUUAUUUUUUAGUUUGAAGAGUUAGUAAGAAAACUGAUGCUAAGAUUGACAGGUUUUCUUUGUUGUGUUUUGUUUUUUUCACCUAAAGAAUGUCAACACAUAUAGUUCAUGUACCCUAUUGCAUCGCAUUGAUUUUUGUUAUUAACUUUUGUUUUACUUCUUUGCUUAUUUUGCAUGUAGCUGAAGGUCGCCCAGAUGCAGCAGUCCUCUUCUCAGCAACCCCAGGAACAGAUCCAGCAGCAGCAGCAGCAGCAACAAAUACAACAGGUAUUGUCCUGACUUUUCUCCGCGAAAUCUGGCACUUUAUAUCUCUUCGUUUCCUUGACUCUAUAUUGUUGAUAGUCGUGUCUACUAUCUAAGCUAGUAUUUUUAUUUUUAUUUUCACUUUCGUUUGAGAUUCUAGCCGUCAGAUAUUUAUUUGUUACUAUUUUCAGAAUAAUAGAAAAAGAAAACAGCCUUCAUCAUCAGGAGCUGCAAACAGUACUGGCACAGGAAACACUGUGGGUCCCACCAGCUCUCCUCCAUCAACUCCGUCUACCCAUACAACCGGUGAAGGAGUGGCAGCAGCUGCAAAUAUGCGUCAUGUCAAUAGCAUGCCGAAGAGUUUAAUGAUAUAUGGUGCAGAUGGAACUGGACUUGCUUCUUCUUCCAAUCAAAUGGUAACCUUCUGAACUUACCUCUUUUAGCAUUCUUUCCAUGUGGUUAAAUUUUGUGCUUAUAUCUAAUUCUAGGAUGAUUUGGAGCAUUUCGGGGAUGUUGGUUCUUUGGAUGAUAAUGUAGAAUCAUUCUUAUCCCAUGACGAUGAUGCCAGAGACAUUUUUGCUGCAUUGAAAAGAAGCCCUGCUGAGCACAAUCCAGGGCCGUCAAAGGGUAAUUUGGUACUGUUGCUUUUAAUCUGUGAAAAAUUUCCAAUGGCGCAUGUUUUUGUCCUUUAUUUUUCAGGUUUUACCUUCAGUGAGGUUGGCUCUAACCGUACAAGCAAUAACAAAGUUCUAUGCUGCCACUUUUCUUCAGAUGGAAAGUUAUUGGCCUUUGCGGGGCAUGAAAAGAAGGUACUGUGGUUAACAUUUACUACAAGAUUGAGCUUCUCAGUUACACAUGAAUAAGUUUCUUGCAAAUUUUCAAUUACAACUUGAAGCUUAUAGGAUGAUAUGUGGGUUAGCUUAUUACUUGUAUUUUAUAGGCUGUUCUUUGGAACAUGGAUACUUUUGAAACAGAGAGCACUCCUGUAGAACAUGCUGAUAUAGUAACAGAUGUCCGUUUCAGGCCAAACUCAACACAACUGGCAUCAUCCUCUUUUGACAAAACUGUAAAACUGUGGAAUGCAGCAGAGGUAAUGAUCUCUAUUAUCAUCCUCUUCUCACAAAUCUGAAGCAGUUGACUGCAUUUGCUAUUAUGCAUGCUGUUGGUUUGCUACGAUAUAAAUUUAAUUCACAUAGGUGUUCUUUGAGCUUGCAACUUGUGUACUAAUUAGAUUAAAGUUGCGCUCUACGUCACUUUGUUUCAAUUGGCUAUUUAGAUAAAAGUUGUUUUCCCAUUCACUUUGUUUGAAUUGGCUAUUUAGAUCAAAGUUGUGUUACCUGUUCACUUUGUUCCAAUUGGCAUUACAUUUACAAAUCCCGUUGUUCUUUUCAUCUUCUUUCCUAGUAGUAGUUACGAUGAUUUAUUUUCAAAGUUACCUUCUUAAGAUCUGUAAUUUUCAAAUUCCAUCUGUUGUAAAUCAUCGGAAAAUGACCUCUGUCACUAUCUCCUAGGAAAUUAAAUUGAUCAAAAUUGUUAAAAUCAUUAUUUCAUGUAUCUCAUCAUUAUUAUACACAGCAAAAUGAAGCUUGAUCAUCUUUCACAUGUAACCAAUGGCAGAUCCUACUGAUAUAUCCAACGUACCCUAUAGUGUUGGUUAUUGUCUGACCAUAGUAUUAACUUGCUCCUCUUUUUUGGUUUUUGUAGCCUGGCUACUGUUUGCACUCCUUUACAGGGCAUAGUGGGCAAAUUACAUCACUAGAUUUUCAUCCAAAGAAGACCGAUCUCUUCUGCUCUUGUGACUGCAAUGGUGAAAUUCGAUUGUGGAGUACAAGCCAUUUCUCAUGUUCACGUGUUUCAAAGGCUAGUGAAUUUAUUUAUAUCUUUAUUCAGAGAUAUUAUUCUCUUUUUUUUUUUUGUGCUCUCAAUUGUUAAUUCUACGUAUUUUCUGAACAGGGUGGUACAGUUCAAGUUAGGUUUCAACCUAAUAUUGGCCAGUUUCUUGCCGCUGCUGCAGAAAAUGUGGUGUCUAUCUUUGAUAUUGAACCAGACAGGAAAAGAUAUACAUUACAGGUUUUUUUUUUUAAAAUAGCAUUAAUAGUGUUUUGUGAUAACCUAUAUUUUUUAAUUGAUACUUCUGAACUAUUGUCCUUUGGCUCUUCUACACAUAUAUUCCCGCAAAAUCAUCUAUUGACAUGUAUACCCUUGUUAAAGAAAAAAUAUCAUAUAUGCCCCUUCAAAGAGCAGUUUCUUCUUUAAGUACCCUUAUCUGAAGCCAUCAGUAGACAUUUUUGUCGGUACAAGAGUGUGCCUAUGCUAGAAAUAAAGUUUUGAAUGGCGUAUAUAAAAAUUUAGAUUUUGCAAGAGUAUAUGCAAUAAACUCGAUUUUUUUUUUUUUUUUAAUAAAAAAGUGUGUAUUUACUUUUUUCAUUUUGCCCCUUUUAUUGUUUUAUUUUUUCUCAGGGCCAUGCCAUGGAAGUGCACUCUAUUUGCUGGGAUAACAGUGGGGAGUACCUGGCAUCUGUUAGCCAGGAUUUAGUUAAAGUCUGGUCGAUAUCGACAGGAGAAUGCAUUCACAAUCUAAACUCCAAUGGGAACAAGUUCCAUUCAUGUGUUUUUCAUCCAAACUAUACCAAUCUCUUAGUCAUUGGGGGACAUCAGGUGAUUGUGUUUCUCUUUAUCUGCUGUCGAAAACGUAGUAAAUGACAUAUCUUUUUCGUUUUGACCUUUUUUUUUUUUUUUUUUUCUUAUCAUUUAAGUAUAACUUAGUGCUGUUUUAGUAGUAGUGCUAUUUAGAGGACUAAUAGCUUUUCCAUUAAAAUCAUUCUCAACAACUUCUACAUGGCAAGAAAAAUUUAAAUUGGAGUUUACUCUUUCUAGCCUCAAAAUCCCAUUUAAGCUUCUUGCCGUUCUAGAAGCUUCAAAUUCUCCUAUCAGCUACCAGCCACGGGGUUGGUCAGUGCUUAACAGUAUGGUAUCCUGGGAGUGAUUGUCUUGGGUUCGAGCCCAGGAACGUGUGGGGUGGAUUUUUGGGGGUCUAGGGUGCUUACAGGCUCUCUCCAACCCAUUUAAGUUUUUCUUUAAAAAAGCCACUGAGAAGCUAGUAAUAGACUUAUUUAUCAGCAGUAGGCAGUUAUCCUUGACAUUUCUAAAGCACCGAGUAGUAGUAAUAGGCCUAUUUAUCAGUAGUUGGCAAUUAUCCUUGACAUUUCUGUAUUGCUAUACGAGAACUUUCUUUUCGAGCUAUCCUUCUCUACUGGAAAGUUGAAUCUCUCUCACUUCAGUUUUUGAAUUUUUUCCCCUUCUUACCUUGAUAAUUUAAUAAUUGCAGUCUCUAGAGCUAUGGAACAUGGUUGAAAACCAAAGCAUGACGGUCCAGGCUCACGAAGGUCUAAUUGCAGCAUUAGCACAAUCACCGGCAACGGGAAUGGUGGCCUCUGCAAGCCACGACAAGUCUGUCAAGGUAUGGAAGUAAUCAGUAAAGCUCGAAGGGAGGAAAUUAAGGAAGAAUCAACAUACUCUUUUUUUGUCUUCUAUAUCUAAGUUUGUGGGUUCUCACUAGCUGUAAAAGUAGUUAUGGCUGUUGAUUACAACGAGUGCAUUUGUUGCUGUUGUAUUAUUAUCGUCCUUAGUUUGGAACUAUCUUCGGGUGGUAGUGAAUGUGUAAGAGCUAAAUUGCUUGGCUUUGUAGAAAUGCUGUUUUAAGUUGGGUGAUAAGGGGUGUUAAAUGGAACAGUUUAAGUUGAAGAAAAUAGUGAUUAACCUGUUUAAAUGACAGAAUUAAUGAUCAAAUUGUAAUUUGCCAGAGUUCAACAUCUGAUGAAUGCUGUUUUUAGUCAGUUCAUUUAUGUAGUUGGUAAUGCCAUACGUGAACACAACACCUAACAAAGUGUAAUGUUAUUCAUAGGUUCAAAAAUAAAGUAGGUGUAAUCUUACAUGCACCCAACGUGCGUGAUAUGUUGGGUGUAAGAUUAACACCCAAUUUUUUGGACGUACAAAGAAUAUUUUUUUAUUUCUUUUUUUCACUAAAAGAUAAAGACUUUCAGUGUGGGCAUAUGUGUGUAUGUAUUUGCAGGCGCAUAUAUUUUCUAUCCAAUCUAAAGUGUUAUUAUGGUCCUAAAAAUAAUAAUUUCGUCAUGAAGUUAUAAUUUUGGAAACUUAUCAAUAAUGAGCGAUUCAUGGAAAGAAACAAAAGUUUUAAGGUCUCAAUAAAAAUUUGUAGAAAUUUUGUUUGUGAGCCAAGUCUAUUGUACGCUUGGAAAGCGCCUUCUUUGUUUGAAGGUCUGAAUACAUGCACCGUCCCUUCCACUUCAACAUCGGCAAAGGUCAUUCCGUAGAAAUUCAUUCUCUCUAGAAGUUCUUGUCCAAAACCUUCCUCUAUGGUUCAACUUAUGCUUCCUAGUCUUCCCUGCCUCUUUUAAUUUUUAUUUUUUUUAUUUAGCCAUUCCAUGACUUUGACUCCUCCAUUUUACCAUCUUAAUUUCAUGUUAUCUUCCUAAUUUUUUCAGCCGUAAGCUUAAAUAUCAAAAUUAAUACAAUACAUAUGUUGAGAGAUGAUGAAGUCUCAUUUUUAAAUGCACAUAUUAAAAAUCAAACUUUGAUUCUUUAACAGAAUUAUGGUAACAAUCACUAAACUAAUUUGGCGUUUUUCUCAAACAAGGUAUAGUUAAAAUUAGAUAUUAAACCUUAUUUUAGAAAAAGAAAAAAAUAGAGAAAUUCAAUAUGUGACCAACAAAAAAAAAAAAAAAACAACUCCAAUACAACCAUAUUAUUCUGAAACUGACAUGUGUGGCCCACCUAUUCCCUCCGUGCAAAUCACGCAAAAAUCGAAAUGCAUUUUCCAAAUAAUUUCAUGCAACGACUCCGGUUAAGUAUUCCAUUAAUACUCCCUAGUCUCCCCCCUUACGACCCACCAACCCCUUUUCUACAUUUCUCACCUUAAAACCCCGCUAAACUCUCUCAAAAUAGUAUUUAGAUCCCGUAGCUUACCAUUCGAUUGAGUGGGUAUUCGCUCUCUCUCUCCUCCCUUUUUGCUGUAGCCAUGUCCGAGGUCAUCUCCGAAGCGUGGACCGCUUAUCUCAAGCAACUCCAACUCCACCCUCUGAGAACAAAGGUGCCAUUUUUGUCUUCUUUUCCCUGCUAUUUCUUUGUGAUUCGGCCCUUUUUCUUACGAAUCCUUGUGUUUUCCACAAAUUCGCGACAUGUGUUUUUGUUUUUAUUGUUUGUGGGUUUGUUUGUGUAGGCGAUCACUUCUGGGGUUUUGGCUGGUUGCAGCGAUGCGAUUGCUCAGAAGAUCUCAGGGAUCAAGAGGCUCCAAAUUAGAAGGUUGCUUCUGAUCAUGGUAUGCUUUUAUUUCUGUUUUAUUUCUUUUUUUUAUUUUUAUUUUUUUUGUAAUCUUUUGUCAACAUGGUAUGAAUUUUCUUUUAAUCUCUGGUAUUAGGGGAAAGGUGUUGACUUUACUGGUGAUAUUGAUUUACUUGAUCAAAAGCUAAUUAAAUUCAGUGCCUCCUGAUUGUUUUGUGAGAGCCAUGUCUAGGUUUUUGGUUUACUAGUGUUUGAUGGUUUGACUCCAAAAGAAAUCGUAGUUUUGAAGCAACUUUGAUAUUAGUGAUUUAGAUUGGAUAUGCCCAAAGUAUCAAUUUUGGGCUUCCCCUUCGGGAAAAAUUUCGAAAGGCUUGGACUUCUUAUUCGCAAAAAUCCUUCCCUGGGGAGUCUAUUUUAGGAAACUAAUGACACUGGAAUGAACUAUUGAAUGAUUGGGAACUUCGUGAACUCGAUUUUGACUUUGACUUCCUAAGCGUGACGAAUGCUUCUCUAUUUACCUUCUUUUAAUCUGAUAAGGCUGAGGUCUCAUCCUCCUCUUCACCCUCCUUUUUCCCAAAAAUCUGAAAUUGAAUUAGUUUAAGAACAAGGACUCUGGUGCGUCCGACGCUAAUAUUCUGGACAAUGUCAUGGGAUAAAGAAGCAUGUAGCAGUUCGCCUAUUACACUGGAGUUGUUCUUUGUUUAAGAAAAAAGAAGCAAAACAUCAGGGACGGGGACAAAUGAAGAACAGAGGAAAAGAGAGGAAAUUUAAGGAUUGUAAUAAGCUGUUAUCAUUUUUGUUUUCGCAAUAUUGUUUGUUUCCUCGUAGUCAUCGCUUUUCCUUUUAAAAGUUGAUAUUCGAUAUACGGUCUCAAUGGGCAAAUAGCUAAUCAGCCUUUUCACUGACCAGUUAAGUUUAAUUUUUUUUUAAAAAAAGAAAACUUUUCAUUAUAAGUGCAAUAUUGUUCAUCAUGGCUUAUGUAAAAAUUUGUUUAAUUUGGAUAAUUCUGUGCAGCUUUAUGGCUUUGCUUACUCGGGGCCAUUUGGUCACUUUCUGCACAAGCUUAUGGAGAUUAUCUUCAAGGGCAAGAAGGGGAAAGAAACCGUGGCCAAAAAGGUGAGUUGCUGAUGGUGCUUAUAACCUGUUCAAAUGCCUACUCUGAAAUGAAAUUGCAAUUGGUAUCCUAAUACAUCCAUUCUUCUUUAUUUGCAUUCGACCCUUUGGUUGUGGCAAUUUGGGUCUUUUUCAGGUCUUGUUGGAACAGUUGACUACUUCACCGUGGAACAACAUGUUCUUUAUGAUGUACUAUGGGUUGGUAGUUGAGGGUAUGAUCUAGAAUGAAUUACAUCAUUCAUAUAAACUCUACUUUGGUUCUAAUAGAAAUCCUUGUAAGAAGGGUCACUAACUGCAACCAGCAACUCUGUCGUUUUAUGUCCAUCUCAUGUCGCUUUUUACCAAGUAAUGUUUAUUAAUUUUUCCUUAUCAAAUAUACACCAUAAUGAUCUAUUAAUAGUAAAAUCGCAGGCAGGCCUUUUAGUUCAGUGAAGAGCAAGGUCAAGAAGGAUUACCCAUCUGUCCAAUUGACUGCUUGGAAGGUGAUUUUUCAUGCAUUUUCUGGGCUAUACUUGUUUAGUACCCCAAUUCUUUUUUCUUUUUUUUUUUUUGUCAGUAUCAUUUUCUGAUCUAGCAUGCCGAAUUAACACUACAUAUUCAUACCGUGUAACUGGAUUUGCAGUUUUGGCCACUUGUUUCUUGGGUGAACUAUCAAUAUAUGCCUCUCCAACUCCGAGUUCUUUUCCACAGCUUUGUUGCUUCGUGCUGGUUAGGAUUUCGCAUCCUUUUUAACUUGUAUAUGAAUAUGGAGUUUUAGUUAUAUGAUUCUGUUAAAGAAAUUGGAUUUCCGUAUGUUUGUGACUUUAGUAUGACACGAUAUUGCGAGAGAUUUAAGUGCACUCUUAUAAAUGCUGACUAUUGUUUUGUAUUCUGUUUGAAUUACAGGGCUGUGUUUUUGAACCUAAAAGCGCGAUCAAUUACUGUUAAGAAGGCUUAAUUUGAAGCUAGAAACCAUGAUAGGUUGGCUGCUACAUAGCCUCUUCUCUUUCCAAGCUUCGGAGGGUCCUUAAUAGAUUAUUCAUCAAAUUAAUAGUUUGUUGCCACAUCCCUGUGGACACAAUAUGAUGAGACAUCAUUACUUUGUAUGAUUUUAUAUUUGAAUAGAAGUGUUUACUGGCUUGUUCUGCCGCAACGUGAUCCUGGUUCCAUAUCAAUGAUAGUCUCUUAACAUGUUGCAUUUUGUUCCGUUUCUUCUUUUAUUUCUGGACUGUUCAUCUUUUUCACGGGCUAUAAUGAUUGAGAUCUUCGUCUCUCUGCAUGAACAUGGAUUUGGUUGAGAAUACGAAAGAGAAGAUUACGGUUUUUAUGAGAUUGGAAGUCGAGCUAACUCGAGGGGGUAUCUGAAUUCAUGAUUUACUGUUGAGGAGUUCUCUUCAUUUUGCCCUUUUAGCAAGUAUAAUUGUGAGAAUAGGUGCACAUAAGCCGGUCGGAUGUAUCAUAUGCAUAUUGAUUGGGUUCAGAAUAAGAAUGAAUCUGAUUCUGAUGUGUCACUAAUAACCAUCCCCGCAAACAGAAUCGCAUUUGCAAUGGAUAUAAAGCAUAUCUACACAAGGAUCUCGGUAAAUCCACUAAGAUUUUCUCUCAAAUCUACAUUUGACCUACAAACUGCAUAGAAAAAGUAAAGCAAAUGCUGUUUAACUUAUCAAGCACCAAGGGCUCUCCUCAAGACCUUCAAGCCCUUCAUGGUUACUUUUUAAUCAUCACAGCAGUUCUUGCUUCACUUACGUAUUCAGGUUUGAUACAACACACGUAAUGUUAGAACUAAAGAGCAAGCUAUGUGAAAAAUCAGAGAGUAAAGUUCUUAAGUGAAAACUCUAAUCCAUAAAUUUCACUCACCUUCCUUUCUCCUCCCUCUAAAUCUAUUACCAUUCCUCUCAAAUCGAGCUAAUUCUUCGAAGGUUCAAAUAACGAGCAUUAAUCGUAAUUUCAUUCGUUGUGUUUACUCUUUCUCUCUGCGUCUGUAUGUUUGUGCGUACGUGUGCAAUGUUUUCAGAAGCUGUACGUAGCAUUUAUAUUUAAGCUUUUCGAUCCAAAUGAUCAUUUUUAUGUGCUCAAAAGCCAAUUUUGUAGUUCACUUGUAUUCAUUCGUUUCGGAUGGAACAAAAGUUAAUAAGUAGAGAGAGAAUUUCGACGUAGUCACGAAUCAACAUCUUAGUUGUCUUAUUUGACAUGGCUUUUGAAACAACCUCUUGUGAAUUCGAAGAAGUGACAAUUGCGUGUUUCAGAAUGAAAUGCUAGAGGUGACAGACACUAGCUACUGAGGCAAAUUGAAAUGAGCUUAAAGCUAUAAUAAUUUCAAAGAGACUUUUAUUUGAAAGGCUAAUGUUAAAUUUUUGAAAAAGUUUGGUACAAACAGUAUACUGUAGCUCUUGUCAGGCCAACCAGAUCGAACCCAAGUUUUCUUUUUCUUUUUCUUUUUUUUUUUUUUGAGAAAAUAUAGCAUGCUACCGCUUCAUUCAACUAGGGAGUGAACUUAGCUACAGAUUGAGACAUUUAGGGCCUCGAGAGGAAAGAAAGAGGAAAAGAAAAAAGACAAACUCAAGGUACAAGAGAAAAACAAAAGAAAGACAAAAGAGAAAAGAAAACCAAAAAGAAAAGAAAAACAUCACAUAUCAACUAUAUGAACGAUUCCACGAGUUUCUAAGCACUCUGAUCUCCAAAAACAGACUCCCCAGCACCCGUCUUGAUUGCUAAAAAAUUCUUUUGUUGCGCUCCAACCAUAAUACCCACCACGUUGCAACGAUGGUCAACAUUUCUAUAUCCCCUGUGCGCCCUUUUUGGCACUACUUUUUUUCCAAAUCUCCUUCGCGAAAGGGCGAUUGUUAAAGAUUAGUUUAUUAGGUAGCAAACCUUUCAGUAAAGAUGUGGUGUAGGCGUAGUCAGAGAAGAGAUGAUCCGCAGUCUCCUUCUCAUCUAAACAUAAAACACAAUUUUCAUCUCCAUUCUAACCCCUUUUGAGAAGGUUAUUCAUAGUAAGCACCUUGUUUUUUAGCACAAGCCAAACGAAGAUCUUGACUUCAAGAGGGAAUCUAAUCUUCCAAAGACGUGCGGAACUGUCGACUCUACUCCACCGUCCGUAAGGAAUUUAUAUACCGAGUUGACCGAGAAUGUUUCGGAAUGUGUCCACCUCCAUCUUAUUUCGACCUGUGAACUACUUGGAGAAAUCGUAACAAGCAAUUCCUUGAAGUUUGAUAGUUGGACGCUGUCUGUCGGGGUCGAAGGGGUGAAUCCUGACAAAAUCUUAUGCCACUUCCACCCAUUUCUCCCCCAACACUCCUUCACCCAAGUUGCAAUCAGAUUGGGCUGGUUAGUAAAAUGGCCGCCCCCGCCCCCCCUAUGAUGUUUAAGAAUUGGUUAUUCCAAAUAUUUUAAUAUUUUAUAUUCUACGCUUGUCACUAUUGUUCUCCAUUUUGCCACUAAAAUGUAGCAAUUAUAAUGAAAGAGCAAGGUCACAAAUUAAAAUCGUGUUCUCAUUACUUGUGCAUUUUAUUGUGCUUUGAUAUGUACUUUUUUUACUUCUUUUCUAAACAUGUCUAUUGACCCACACCGUCAACACCCCACCCAAAAGUUCCAAACUCAGAAAAACCUCAAUUUCUCUGAACAAUAUGGUACUGCAGUAAUUUAUAUAUUAAUGAACUAGCUAAAAGGAGAAAUAGUUAAUUGGAUUAAACAAAAAGUAGAAACAAUUUUAUCAUCAUAUUUUUACAUGCUCUAUUGGAUGACUAAUCUUUCUGAGUUCAGUUACUAUACUCUUAUGAAUAUAAAUUCUUUUGUACUCAAAAGUUUUCGACCAUUAAAUUUAUUUUUUUUUUUGACUAUUUUCAUUCGUCAGAUCAUACUAUUCAACAACCCCUGCUCAACUCUUGAACAACACUAUCAUCUUAACGGCACAUUUCUUCAUUCAAUGGCUAAAAACUUAUGAGUGCAAAAAUAUCUACACUCAUAAGUGUAUAAUAGUCAUAAUCUCUCUAUAGCUCCAAACAUAUCCGACCUAUAUCUUAUCAACAUGUACAACAGAGAGAGAGAGAGAGAGAGAGAGAGAAUAAAGAAAAUGAAAUAGCCAGUAAUUUUGAAGGUGCAUGCACAAAAGAGGAUCUUAGUAUAUGAAACAAGAUGAAUUAAAAAAAUGGCAUCUCAAAAAAUAAUUUGUGCAUAACAAAAUAUAGAAUGGGAGAGAGCAAUAAAGGAAAUAAAUUACUGUGCAAAUCAAGCAUUAUAAAAUAGAAUCUCACCAUAUCCAACAAGAUUUGCUCCGACAUCUAUCUAUCUAUAUAAAUAAGGCAUAAAAAUUUCCUUGAGAGCAAAACAAUCCUUCCCCAUUUUUACGAGUCAAAAUCAACAAUGGCUCUCCUCAACACCAUCAAGCCUCUCAUUUUAACCCUUCUCAUUGUCACAGUUCUCACUUCAUCUCAAAAUGGUAUGUGAUCCACUCUCUUUUACUCGAGAAAAGCAUGCGUAGCUAAUCUGAAUUACGACCUAUUUUAACAUUAACUAUUCCUUUUUUGUUUGGGGUAAGAAAAAUUAAAGUUUACCAUCUAAUCAUACAAUUUGUUUAAUUUAUAGUUGAUUUGAUGGCCAUACACCGUUUGGAUUAGUCUAAUUUUAAAAUUAGUACUCUUGGUUUUUUUUUUUUUUUAUUUUUUUAUUUUUUCAGAUGUUUACGUGGAGGGCUCCAACCAUGCCUAUUGCUCCGAGUUCCAAAAUUGUACGACUCAAAAGUGCACCGAUCAUUGUCACGACAUUGGCAUUUAUUCGGACGGAAUUUGCAACUUUGUUGGGGGAAAUGAAAUUGAUUGCUGUUGCCCACUGCCAUGACCACAACAGUUUUUAGGAGACAAUGACAUGCAUUGUGGCCCAUCAUCUACGAAUUAUUAUUGCUUUGGAAAUUCAAUGGGGCCUUUUUACAAUAAUUUAAAAGCUCAUUUUGCUUAUUGUUGUACUAAUUAAUAAAUAAGAGAUAAAUCUCUCAUUUGAUAAUAAAGUUGCUAAAUUUUGCUUCUUCUCUCUCUCUCUCUCUUAUCUAAAUCUCGAUUGCAUGAAUAAUUUUAUGUCAGUUCCAAAAGAAUACGUGAAAGUAUUAUAUAUGCGUAACUACUUGGUUAUGAUCAGAUCGGAGUAUUUUGCAAAGUUUUGAGUAAUUAUUGUUAUGGUUAAUUAGACACUUAUUUUUAUGUUGUUUUCCUUUUACCAGCAGUUUAUAAUAUUUUGGAUUGACAUUGAAUUGCAUUAUUGUAUAGCUUUUCUUAAAUUCAGUUUUUUUUCUUUUUUAUUGCAAAAACUUUAUUUCUAGUAUAUAUGUAGAGUAUGCUAAUUGGAAACAUCAACCUGGUUGAUUUUCGACAGAUUUUUUUUUUUUUGAGAGAUAGGUAGCACGCUACCCGUUUCAUUUAUUUCAUUUAGAAAUAACUUAGUUGGAAAUGUGAAUCAACUAGAAUUCGAAUUUGGGAUCUCGGAUAUCAACCAUCAAAUUCUUUGCCAUUUGUUUUAGGGACGGUCGGUGAUUUUCGACCGAUAUUAAUUGCAUUGUUCGGGCUAUAUAUAUACGAACUUAGGCCCCUUGAAAAUUUGAAACAUUGCUUUCACUACUUCGUGUUUCAGUAAGACAAUAAGGUACUUCCUAAGUUGAUAGGAGCAGAAAUAGCAAAAGAGUAAUUACUAGUACUAAGUCAUCCAGUUUUCCUCGUUACUUUACAAUUGUAUUCUUCUUCUUCUUCUUCUUUUUUUUUGAAACAGAGCCCUAAUACUAAGAAUUUCAGUAGUAAAUGAUGCAGUCAAUUUAGCGUUAAAGUUUAUGAAAAAACACGACUCAACCAAGCUGAGUCGAAAAUUCGGCCGAGUUCGGUAAUUUUUAUAAUCGGCGUGAAAAUUAUUUAAAUAUUUACGGUAGUUCUUACGAUCGGCAUGAGAAAUUUUUAAACAGUCAUAAGCUCUGUUUGCUUUGACAUAACGUCCUUGUCAGGCCUCAUUAUAUAUAUGGGCCAAAAUUGUUAGUGAUGUGAGAUCCAUUUCAUACUUUUGACUGAUAAACACUUUUAAUAUCAAAUAUACAAUCGAACCUACUAAUACUAAUAUCUUGUUAGAUCUAAAUCACUAGCAUAAAAUGUUUAAACCUAAUUAUUAAUGUUAGAAUUCUAAGUCUUCAUAUAGCCUCGGUACUCUUUUUUUUUUUGUGGGAUUAUUGGAGACGUCGUAUAUCUUAAUUAUUCUUUUUCAAAAAAAAAAUGUAUUUUUUAUAAUAUAGUGUGCUUCUUACCCAUUUGAAAGAAAAAGGAAUGAAAUGAAUUAAUUAAAAAUAAAUCUAAAACAAAAAGAAAAGAGGAAUAAACUUUUUUUUUCCUCUAAUUUCACCCCCCCAAUUACAGAUGUCAAAUCCUUUUCAAUACUCGCAAGUGAGUAAAGCCCCAAAAUGUUACAAAAUUAAGAACAGUAAAGGCAAGUGAAUAAAUGGCUACUAAUUAAGGUCGCAUUUAGUAUCAUAUUUAUUUUUUAUUUUUUAAAAUAAAUUUUUGCAUAUCACAAGGUGUAGUAGUGAACAAUGAAUUAUCUGUAAUUUUUUUAUUCAAAAUAUUUACUCGACAAAAAUAUUCAAUUGUUUUGUCUAUUUUUUUUAAAAAAUAAGCUAUCAUCUAUCACUUGAUUGGAUACAUUAUAAAUUAACUAAUCAUAAAAACAAAAGAAAAAUCUUUCUUUCAAUAUACUAAAUUAUAUAAAACUUCUGUCGGAAAAAAAAAAAUGACAAUUGCACCAAACAGAACUUAGCAUAUCUUUUUGAGCAACAUACAACAGAGAUUUUGGCAUUAGAAGCACCGAACAAAAUAAUUAACGAAAGGCAAAUGUUAACAAUUUUAAAAUUUAAAAUUUCAAACCAAAAUCUAAAUUCACUUUUCCAUUAACGUAGGCGUCCCACCAGUUAUUAUUAUUAUUAUUAGUAUUUUUUUUUUUUCUGAAUGUGAGACACUGGAUGAUUCGCAGUACUCUAUUGACUCACAGGUAAUGGUAAUAAUUUCUCUUUUUAAAUAUUUUUGAUUCACAAUAUAUUCGAGUGUGUACUAACUAACUAAUUAUAGCAUAUACAACUCAUAUAGCAUGAAAGAAUCUCACCAUAUAUUCAGUUAUUAAUAUAAAGAUUUUGCCAUUAAAUUUUGUUUUUCUUUUUUGUACCCUGUAAAAGAUGUGCGACAAGGUUACAACAAGCACGAGCACAUUUUUUUAUAAAAGACAUGCCAACAUUAAUCUCCAACUCAUCAUCUUGAUGACGAACAGUUAAGCACUUUUGCUGAAUAAACCGGGUGUAUGGACCGCACAUGUCGCCGCCAGCCGGGCCCGGCUCAUGCUCGUGCCGUGCGUGUGUUUAAACGAGAGUAUAACUCUUAUUUUCUCCCAAAAAACUAGCUUGAGAACAAAAUAAUAUAUAAAUACCAGCAACAGUCUUUUAGUUUUCAAUGUGGGACUAAAUCUCACAUAUGAAAAUUUUAGUUGAGCUUCCAGGUAAGGCUCAUUAAGUAUUGGACUGCCCAAAAAACCUAACAAAUUUUAAAUUACUAAAAAUUUAAUAAAAUUCAAUAAUUUUCGCUUCUAGUAGAUCAGAAGCACUUUAGAAGGCCAACAUUAAUGUUAAACAUUUUGAUGCUCUAUGUGUCACUUUAAGUAGAAUUUUAACUUUUUGUAGUAUUUUGCUCUGUAAUUAAUUUACUCAUGCAUGGUACAAAUAAUUGACUCAUCAGCAACUACUGGAGUGUUAUUCGAAUGUUAGUACGUUAUUAUGAUCUACUAUGGUUUUUCUGUUUUUUUUUUUUACUAGCAAAGCUAUUGCCCUCUAGUGACAAAAAAAAACUUCUCACUCAAGUACAACAGUAUUUAUUGAAAAUAAACAAAAAGGAGAUUUACUAUACGGAUGAAACGUAAUCACUUUUGUUUUUAUUAUUUCGAAAUUUGAAUCGAUGAACUGAUCGACAACAAUAACUUCUAUCGAUCUUUGUAAGACGCGUCUCAUAAAAAAAUAAAAUUUUCCGUACCCACAUGCUAAAAAUAGGAAACCAUGCUUGUGGGCCAUAGGACUUAGUAUGUCACACGAGAAUUAUAUAUAUAUAUAUAUAUAUAUAUAUAUAUAUAUAUAUAUAUAUAUAAAGGGAAAAUUUUGUCGUACUAAAACAGAAAUAAGAAUAGAUCAAAUACCUGCAAAGAACUUUUCAAUAGAGGAACUCAUCAUCAUAACAAUUCUUCUUGUCCAAUACUUCUCUACCAUUCAGCUAUAUAUAUAUGUAAAAAACAAAGCAAAUAUUAAGAGAAAAAUGGAAAAGAGUAAUUANAGCCUAUAUAUAUAUAUAUAUAUAUAUAUAUAUAUAUAUAUAUAUUGUAUGUCUCAUAUGUGAAAAUGCUUGGGUCCUGCUCUGACAUUUAAAGGUGGCAUUGAAUCCUCAUUUGAAUAUGCACCGACUUUUUUGAUCGGCAAUGCAUCAACGGUCGUGAUUCGCUGGACAUAUUUGUGCGUCUGUGCUGUGUAUUGAUCUCACCGUUUAUGGAAAAGAAGCAGUUAAUUGCCAUGAAAAUGUGCUCACGUGAAAGGGUGAAUAUGUCUAAUCGAGCUAGUUGGAAGUUUCCUUCGGUAGGAAUGUUGAGUACUUUUCUUUGCUACCCCGAUUUAUAAUUUUUUUAUAUUUGUAGUUGUUUUAUGGCGAUGUAAAACACUUUACUCCGUUUGCAGUUACUACUUACGAUUUAAAAAAAAAAAAAUUAUUUCAUGAGUUAGAAUGAUAAUUACAUCAGUUAGAAAAUCAUCAUGUCAAUGCAUGUAUAAAAUUGUAAAAUUUAUACAUAUACAAACUGAUAAAUUUAGGUUUCGUUUGGAACUGCGGGGAGAUUGCGUUACGUGCGGUGAGAAAGUACGUUGGAAAAAUACCCUCUUUGUUUUUGUACGUAGUAUUGCGUUUUGCAAAUCGCGAUGAAUCGAUUACGAUAUAUUUUCUCCGGUCUCAUUAAAGAAUGCAGAAGCAUAUCCCUAUGUGCUUUUACCCCAGCUCUAUAUUAUCUAAUAGCGUUAGAUGGAUCUCAAUACCAAAGUAAGUCUUUAUUAUGUAAAUAUAGAUUUAGCAAUCUAUCUAUAUGAAUUGAGUAAACUUUGACCGAUUCUCAAAUUCAGGUUCUUGGAUUAAGAGUUUGGAUUGAAAUCUCAAUUUGGCAAUUGCCAAUGAAAUUGCUCUCGCGGCCCAUAAAGAAUAAGCCCGAUAACAAAUUAGGAGGUCAAUAGAAAAUUCUACUAUAAGAUGAGAUCCACAGUCCAAACAGAUUAAGACUCAACACAUGCUCGCAUUAGUCACUAAGAAUUAAUGCGACAUGCAUAUAUACACACUAAAAUUCGUCAACACACACCAACCUUUUAAAACUUCUAAUAUUUAUUAGCAUAUAUAGAGUUUUUAUGAUCAUCUUUUUGCCUUUUUUUUUUUUUUUUUUUUUUUUUUGGGUCUUGCGAUCGAACUGUGGAUUAAUUUCAGUGUGCGGUGUAACAGUGGGCAGCUGCAUUUGACAGCGCACGCGGGUGUUAUUUAAUUUGGCAGUUGCACCACUACACUUACAUUAUUUGAGCGAUUUCACCUCCUUCAAUCAAUGCUUUUUAGCUUCGUUUCCACUCGGAAAAUAGAAAUUGAGAUUAAUUUCUACUUUUCCACCGUGCACAUGGUGGUCAGCGUGUAUGCAACUACCACUCUACACUUUCCUUCUUCUUUUCCCUCUUUAGCUUCAAUAUAUAAUAAUAUAAUAUAAUUUUGCUCUUAAAUGUCUAAAGGGCGCAGCAGUGCUACACGUAGCACGGCUACAAGAAAUUCACCCACUGAGUCCCCUUCACUUGUUAGUAGUAAAUUUUUUUUUUUUUUUCAAAAAACAAAAUUUUCAAUAAAAAUGUAAACAAGUACUAUAUACGUAAAAGAACUUUCGGCAUCUCGUGUGGUACUGCAUGUAGUAUAUAUAUGGCAUAGGAUUUUUUUUUUUUUGAAAAAAAAUAAUAAAAAGAUGAAUUAAGUUACGAGGGUGAGAUAAUAGAUAUCGGUUGAAACGAAAUGAAAGAAAAAAAAUAUAUUAAAAUCAAGGAUUAAGGACGAGGAAUCAACCACAUCUUCGGACGAGGAAUCAAACCAUCAAUUUUGAGAAAAAAAAAAUGAAGCAAAACCAUCUGUAGAAAUAGCCGCAUUUAAUUUGCAGAAUCCCUCCCAAAAAAUAAAAUAAAAUCAGAAAGGCAUACAUGAUCAAUCACAAAGAAUUAAUUUGACAUGAUUCAUGAAGCUAAGAAUAAAAUUCGAUCACCAAAUUGCAUGACUUGUAAGAUGUUAUUAAACUUAAUAUCUAUUUGUAAGCUUUUUAUAAGGGAAACUUCAAAUACUAUUCACGUGGUUUCACAUUUUUUCACUUUAAUUAGUACUCUGUGAUUUAAAGUGUACCAAUUUAGUAUUUUACAAUUUUAUUUUUCUCUUUUCGUCAAUCACUUUGUUAAAUUUUUAUUAAAUAAUAUACAAAAAAAAACUUUAGAUAUAUACUCCACCUAUAGUUUAUCGAAAAUUCACUUUAGUACAUUUUAGUUUUAACUUUGCCAUUGAUUUAACGAAAAAAAUUAGCAGAGGAGAUGAUAAAAAGAAAAAAAAUAAAAUUACAGCGUACGAAAGUGAUACACUUUAAAUCACAUGAUACUAAAAGGAGGAGUAUAUAAAUUAUAGAGUGGUGGUAUUUGAAGUUUUUCUUUUUUAUAAUAAUGUUUCUUAAUUUCCUAUUUAACGAAAAAAAUUAGCAGAGGAGAUGAUAAAAAGAAAAAAAAUAAAAUUACAGCGUACGAAAGUGAUACACUUUAAAUCACAUGAUACUAAAAGGAGGAAGUAUGAAAUUAUAGAGUGGUGGUAUUUGAAGUUUUUCUUUUUUAUAAUAAUGUUUCUUAAUUUCCUAAUUAGGGAAGUUAAUUAUAAUCAAGCAUUAGGUUGGCUCUUCAAUAAAUAGGGGCAAUAAUUAUUGAACUUGGCUUAACUGUUGCGAUGAUCCUCCCAUUUCAUUGCAUGUGAUUAAUAUGUACAACCUGGCACAUAUUACGUACGUACUACAUAUCUUUAGGUACACAUAUCUCUCUGGUUAAGCUGCAUAGCUACAACGAUGCAUUAAAUUGAUUGCUCCUGAUGAGUAUUAAAGGAUCUUCUCAGUGUGGCUCGAAUUCCUUUGUUGGUUCAACCCCAUUGGAUACUUCUAUUGUUCAAAGAAGGAAUAAAAUCGAGAAGGAUCGAGAAUAGUAAUGCCAGUGACCACAAUUAAUUCUUCCAACUAAUAUAUAUUAAUUAACUCGUAAAAUAAAACUGUGCUGAGACCCCAUCUGAAUUAUUUUUUUACAUAGCCUAUUAGGUUAAAAAUUUUGUUAAACUUAAAAACUCUAUUUAUUAUUAAUUAGUUGUAAAUGAUGCUAAAAAGUGACUAAAGUUGCUGAUCAAUUAGAUGAAAUGAUUAACAAUAAAUUUGAUAAUAUUAAUUCAUUGAACUAAUUAAACUUAUUCAUUUUUUUUAAAAAAAAAGGGAAGAAAUUUGAGCAGUUCAUUUGAAAUCGAUCGAUCGGCUUAGCACUGAUGAGGAGUUUCUGUAACGAUUUUUUUUUAUCAAUUUCUAACCUAAAAUAGCAGGUAUAUAUAUAUAUAUAUAUAUAUAUAUAUAUAUAUAUAUAUAAGGGGAAAAAGGGAAAAGAAAAUACAUAGAUAUUUCAGAAAUUUUUAUUUUCCAUUACAUAUAUCGUAAAUCCACAUAAGUGCGUCUACAAUAAUCCCCAGUUGGCUAGCUCGGCCCCACAUACAAUUGCACAGUGGCCAACCAACCAGAAUUUCAUUUAAAUCCCCCCCGCAAAAAAAAGAAAAGAAAAAAAAGCUAAGAGAUCAAAUUGCAGCAUUAAAUAUUGAUGCACGGCCUAUACACCGACCAAUUACAGCUUAAUUCCAAAUCAAUUAUCGAGACCAAAAUAAAAAAAAAACUUCUCCUCCUCCUCCUCCUCCUCCUUCUAAUAACAAUAAUAAUAAUAAUAAUAAUAAUAAUAACAACAACAAUUAAUUAGUAAUACUCGAAAACUAUUAUUCUAAUUAUUAUUAUUAUCAUCAUCAUCAUCAUCAUUAUUAUUCUCCCGUGGGUAUAUAUGCAUGUAUAUAUAUAUAUAUAUAUAUAUAUAUAAAUAUAUACAUAUAGCAUACAUAUAUUUAUACGUAAAAUUAAGGCAUGCAGGUAAAUAAAUAUAGAAAUAUAUAUAAAAGGGAAGGGAAGGAAAGGAAGGAAUAAUUAAUCAUAAUUAAUCAUAAUAAUAUAAUAAUAUAAUAAUAAAUGACUUACUUACUCGUCGUUGACCCAUCCGUACUUCUCCAUGAAGGGGUUGACGAGCGUCUGGGGCGGGUAGUGGUGGACGCAGUCGGCCCAGACGGCGGCGUCCCCGGAGAGGUCGGCCUGGACCUCCCAGAGCGCGCUGUUGCACUUGAAGCCGGCGCCGAAGCUGAUCAUGAGCACGCGGUCCCUGCGCUUGAGGCGGCGCUUGGCCUCCAUGUAGCCCAGCACGUACCAGAGGCUGCUGGCCGACGUGUUCCCCCACCGGUGCAGCGUCAUCCGCGCCGGCUCCAGGUCGAACUUGCUCAGCCCCAGGCUGCGCCCCACGGCCUCGAUCACCGCCGCCCCGCCCGUGUGCAGGCAGAAGUGCUCCACCCCGCUCCGGAAGUCGAUGCGCGCCGCCUCGCCCUUGCGGGGUGGGGCCGCCGCCGCCGCCGCCAGCUUCUGCCGCGCCAGGCGGACCGCGUAGCGCAGCAGCUCCCGCACGGGCAGGAUCUGCGGGGCCAGCACGCGGAGGUUCUCCACGAAGGCGCGCACGGCGGCCUUGGGCAGGUCCUUGCUCAGGUGGAAGCCGACGAGCCCCGCGUCGUCCUCGCGCUGCACCGCGCAGCCGUAGGCCUCGUCGCCGGCGCCGAUGUGGGUGCGCACCAGGCGCCGCAGCCGCAGCUUGGCGCGGCCGCGCAGCGCCGGGUCGUUGGUGAGCAGCACCGCGCAGCCGCCGGAGCGGAAGAGGCAGUUGCCGAGCAUCAUGGACUUGUCGCUGCCCGAGUACCAGUUGGGGCUGAUCGACUCCGACGUCACCACCGCCGCCAGCACCGGCUUUCCGGUGGUCGACGCCCGGAAGACGUUGUUGACGAGGUCGACGGCGACGAGGCUGGCGCUGCAGCCCAUCCCGGAGAGGUUGAAGACGCGGACGUCCUCGCGCAUGUUGAAGCGGUUGACGAGGCGGGAGGCGAGGGAGGGGGCGGGCGAGAACAUGGAGACGUUGACCGCCAGCACGUCGAUGUCGGCGGGGCGGAAGCCGGUCUUGCGGAAGAGCGCGUCGAGGGUGGGGAAGAGGCAGUCGUCCAUCUCCUGCAUGGCGUCGGCGUGCGUGGGGGACUCCUCGCGGCCCUCCAGGAUGUUGCGGGGGCCGUACGUCUCCUCGCCGAUGCCGGAGUUGACGAUGACCUUCAGGAGGAACUUGUACUCGGGGAAGCCCAGCCGGGGGUUCCGCGCGAUGAUCUGCCCGGCGAAGUCCGUCGAGAUCUUGCGGUCGUCCGCCGGCUUGAAGCACACGUAGUCCAGCAGGUAGCAGUUCCGCAGGCGCCGCCGGCCCACGCAUUUCCAGACCAGGGAGAAGGAGUAGAGGAGGAGGACGACGAGGCCCACGGAUACCACAAGUACAGCCAUAUUAAUUAAUUAAUUAAUUAAUUAAUUAAUCGUAUGUAUAUAUAUAUAUAUAUAUAUUUGUAAUCGAUCGAUCAGUGAUGGAUAUAUAUAUAUAUAUAUAUAUAUACACACUCACACACACACUAGCUAUUUAUAUAUAGUAGCUAGCAGUGGCGACUACAAUGGUGAUCGAGAGCUAGCUAGAGAGCUAGCUAGAGAGCUGCUUCUUCUGCUUCUACUGCUAGCACCACUUCUGUGGGAUGGUAUUAAUUUUGGGAUCAAAGGUGGCUGAAUUAAUUUUGAGAAAGUGGGGGAGGGGGCUUGAUUGGGAAGCAGAAGCUGAAGCUGAGAGAGACUAUUUGAAGGGAAGAGGGGGAGGGGAGGGAAAGAGAGAGAGAUGGAGAGAGUGUGUGUGGGGUUGUGAGUUAAAUGCAGUCUUUGGAUAGCUUCCAACUCCCCAACUAAAUUUAAUGGAUCAUGUGGGAGAGAGAGAGAGAGAGAGAGAGAGAGAGAGAGAGAGAGAGAGAGAGAGAGGAGGGAAAUUAUCUCCUGCACCCAGUGCAUAUAUAUAAUUGCAUUCAUGCACUGCAUCUUACCAAAAAAAAAACAAGUUCUAUCAUAUAUAGAGGUGUUAGAAUCACAAUCUAAUUUGCUGGUUAUAGAUGCUUACUAGCUAGGACAAUGAUUUUUUUAUGAAACGAAUAAUCUCAAUUCAUCUAGACGCUGAUUUCUACUAUUAGUAGAUGCUCGGAUUAAAGGUUUUCAGAACAAAUGAGUUUUUAUACCGGUGCAAUACUUCAGAUACUAUAGAUCAAUUUUGUCUAAAGUAAUUUUAACUUUAGCACAGUGAUCAUAUAUAAAAAAGAAAAAAUGGAUGCUGCGCAUGCAUGACACGUAGGGACGCGCGCACCAGGUGCAUGAAAUAUAAUCCAGAGAGUAGAGGGGAUAUGGGUUUUAAAAAGGAAGGGUGGGGUGGGCGUGCAUAUAAUUAAUCUCACGAGAGAGGGCGUUGUUUACUCAUGUUGAAGUCAUGCGAGCUGGAACGAGAGGAAGGUGAGAGCAAGUUGUGGAAACAAAGAGAGUGAGUGAGUGAGUGAGAGAGAGAGAGAGAGAGAGAGAGAGAGAGAGUCCCUUAUCAUAAUGUGAGAGAGAGAGAGAGAGAGUCCCUUAUCAUAAUGUGAUUAAUUAUUGUCCCAUUCCGCUUUGAUGAUGGAUUAUUAUUAUUAUUUUUUUUUUUGACAAUUUUAUUGCAAACUAUGAUGAUGGAUUAAUUGAGCAAAAUGAUGGAAGCAAACACGUAUAUACCCAUACUAACUAGAUAAUUAGUGUGCUAUUAAUGGAAAGUUGAAACAGUUUUUCCAAUGGAAAAUAUUCUAUUACCUACAAAUCCAAGUAUAUAUAUGCAUAGUACGUACGUGCAUUCGUGAAUCAUCUAAAUUCUCCUGAUUGGAUGCAUCUCAGCCGUUGGAUACUUUUGUGCUUAUGAUUUCUAGAUCUGUAGCCUUUAAUGGGGAUAAUAAUAUACAGAGCUCUUUGAACGUACUUAAUGUUUCUUAAAACAUGGACUUACUCGAAGGGACACAAAUACAGUAAUAUAAAAAUUGAUUCAUUGAUCAAAUAUAUAUAAUUAUAGAAGCACAUCAAACAAAUAACUAUUCAGAGUACUGGACUCGUGCCUACUACAGUCUUAGAAGUGUUAUAUGUAUUUAUCAAAGAACUUGUUUCGUUUUCCUGCGUAUUAUUUAGGCAAUUAAACUUUCAUAGCAUUUUUGGUUUAGAUUUAGUACAGUAAUCUACAUUAAGCUUAUUAAUUAUACCAACCACCUGUGUGGUGCAGUGGUUAGGUGCCAAAGUUUCAAUCAAGUGGUUCCAAUAGAAUCCAGCUGUGGGGUUCAUUACUUAUUGAUUAUGUGGGAGCAAUUUUUGUUCUUGAUUGUUCUUAUUUCAAUUUAAUUUAGAAGAAAAAUUUUAUUAAGCAAUUAAAAUUAGUCUAUAAUUAAAUAAUGAAAUGUAGCAAUUGACUCAAGCCAGAAGUCUAAUUACCUCGCAUUUUUAACUAAUUUUUUUUUAAAAAAAUAAACGAAAUAAUAGAACGCUACCAUUCUCUCUAAAAUAAAAAAUAUAUAUAUAUAGGAAUGACUUUUUAUAGUUUUUUUUUUUUAGAAGAGAGAGCAUGCUACCGUUUCAUUCAUCAAAGAAAUGAAUUUAGUUAUAAAAGGUUGAGACAACUAGACCUCUUAGUGAAAAAAAGAGAAAGAAAGAGUUUUUUUUUAAAAAAAAAAAACUAAGGUGACCAGAAGCCCCUUAGUAUUUUAUUUUUAUGCAUAAUAUUAUUACUGACCGUCUCUAGAGCAAGUGGCAAAGGGCUUGAUGGUUGGUAUCCGAGACCCAAGUUCGAAUUCUAGUUGAUUCACAUUUCUUGCUAAGUUUAUUUCUAAAUGAAAUAAACGAAACGGGUAGCGUGCUACCUAUCUCUCAAAAAAAAAAUAUAUAUAUAUUGCAUGUCACGUAUGGAAAUAUAGACCCUUUUUUCAAAAUACAAGUUCAUAGUCUCAUUUAGCUUCCAUUUUCCUCAAGGCAAGUAAUUAAUUAAACAUUUUGAUAAAUGUACACCAAAAUAGAAAGUAGAACUGACAAAAAUCAGAAAAAGGAAAUGGAAACAAAAGUGAAUUAAGAGCAAACAAGCAAAAUUAGCUAGUAGUAAAUUAAAUUUGGUUAGGUAAUUUUCCAUGAGAUGCACCCAACCAUUGGAGGCCACCUCUUGUGCAAUAACUACAUGCCAAGUUGAUAAAACCACACCACAUUUAUGCACACUGAGCACUGGGCAAAUGCUACCAAAAACUAGUGUUGCACAAUCCAAACAAGUACAGGUAAAGAUGAAAAGAGUUAACUCAAAGGCAAGUGGAUCAGAUUCUAGAAGGUAUGUGAAAGUGAAUCUUUUUUUUCUUUUUUUUCUUUUUUUUUAUCUCAGUACCUUUUUGGACGAACAACCAGCCACCACCUCUAUGAACCAUAGUUAGUUAAUUCGUAUAUGGUAAAAAUUUAAUAUAAAUAAAAUGUGAAUAAAAUUUAUAUUAUAAUUUUUAAAUUUGAUGAAAAAUACGGUUUAAAAAUCGGAUUCGUCAAUAAUUCGUAUACCCGAUUUAUAUGAAAAUUUUAUAUUUAUUAUUUAAAAAUUUGGAACAAAGAUUCGUCUGUUAAAUUAAAAUUUUUCUUUAAAUUUAUGUUAUUAAUAUAAAUAAUUAUAAUUCUUAUAAAUAUAAAAAUAAAAUAAUAUAUAAAUUAUAUAUAUAUACACACACACACAAACACAAAGGGAGAGUGAGAGGUUCACCGUAGACCUCUCUCUCUCUCUCUCACACUCACACACACACACACACA
Molecule: long non-coding RNA, 65960 nt
Filed under: Ananas comosus (pineapple)
Lineage: Eukaryota; Viridiplantae; Streptophyta; Magnoliopsida; Poales; Bromeliaceae
Description: long non-coding RNA (ACOM_LNC032043)
Source: RNAcentral